RNAcentral lists this long non-coding RNA (58405 nucleotides) under Gossypium barbadense (sea-island cotton). Its description in RNAcentral is "long non-coding RNA (GBAR_LNC022774)". Lineage: Eukaryota; Viridiplantae; Streptophyta; Magnoliopsida; Malvales; Malvaceae. The record is from RNAcentral.
CAACAAAAAUCCUGACCCGAACCAAGACAUACGGGUCCGACUACUCGCCUUUUCGUGACCCUUCCCGAUUACCAGCGGUUGUCCUAUAUGGCCGUGGUGACGAACAUUGGCUUAUCAUUUUGGAAUUCCCAGAACGCCCAAAACCUUUGGAAGAAGAAAUGAUCGAUACCUAUGUUAAAACUCUCGCUUCUGUUGUCGGCAGGUUUUUAAAUUAUAAUUAUUCCUUCAGAUUUCAUUAAAUUUGGGUUUUAUUUUUCUCUUUUGUUUGUUCUGAUCUUGUAGUGAAGAGGAAGCGAAAAAGAGAAUAUACUCUGUCUGUACAACGAGGUAUAGUGGGUUUCGUGCUUUUUUUUCUAAGGAUUUGGUCGAAAAACUUAGAGGUAAUUUCAUUUCCCAUUUACUACGGUUUAGGGUUUACAUGGUUUUCCCUUUUUCUAGUGUAAUUGGAACAAGAAAUGGGUUUUUUGAAACAAUGGGUUUUCAGACAGAAAAAAGAAUUAACAUUGGUUUUCAUUGUGUGUGAUGUGUUGUUGGCUGUUUUAGGGUUUUAAACCUCCCGAUGUGAUUGCUUUCUAUACUAAUUUAUUAGGGUUUAAACGGUUUUUCCCAAUUGCUUUUGUGAGUGUUUUUGUACUUACAAUUGAUGAGGCAUCCAAUUUGUUCUAAAAUCAAUGGGCAUUAUGUUUUUACAGAGUUACCUCGUGUACGCUGGGUUUUAUCAGAUGACUUUAUCUAUGGUCAAGAUCGUUAUUAUGGAGGUGGGUAGUUUAAAGAUAAGCUUGUUGCUUAUAGCCAUUGAAGUUCCCAUUGUCAAUAAAUUUAAUCUCUUUUUUCUCAGGAGAUUUGUUUGUUGAUGGGAAUGUGAUUCAUAGACCCCCGCAGCACGGAGUUGGAGAAAGUGCUGAUUAUGAUCUUUGGGUUAUCAAAUUCGAAUCCCCGAGAAAUAUCGAUUUCUAUGUUAAAUUCCUCGCUUGUUUAGUCGGCAGGUUUUUGAUUCCUUCAAUUUUGGGGUUUUUUUUUCCGGGAAUUUGAGAAUUGGGUUUUAUUUAUCUUUUUCUGUUUGUAGUGAAGAGGAAGCGAAAAGGAAAAUAUACGCCGAUGGUGGUAGACUAACGAGGUAUACUGGGUUUUGUGCUGUUAUGUCUAAGGAGAUGGCUUAUGAACUUGAAGGUAAUUGUAUUUCUCAUUUAUUAGGGUUUACAUGUUGUUCUCAUUUAUUAGAGUUCAGUGUUUAGAAUUGGCGUUUUGUUUGUCUAGGGUUUCCUCUUGUAAAACGCGUUGAUCGGGUUUCAGAGGCCGAAAAUGACGCAUAUCUUGAAGCUAUGGAAUUAUUAUCAUGGGAAUUCCUUGAUGCUGUACCAACCUUUCAGAAAUUGCUAGCAAGAGAGGAGAGGAGACUGUUGCGAUUACUAGAUUUGGUGAUGCACCAGAUAUUAAACGAUAUUUAUACUCGUAAAAUGGACGAAACCGAAACUGAGGGCUAGGACCAGAUCUUUUCCGAUUUGGUGGAUUCAUAAAUCUCUUUAUUUAUUUAUUUUAAUUUCAAAAACUAUUUUAUUUAUUCGGUAUUAGAAGAGUCAUAAUUAUUUGAAUUAUUAAUUCGUGUAAUCUCCAUUCCUAAUAAAUAUUAAGUUUAUUUAUUGUUGUUAUUAUUUAAAAUAUAUAAUUUUGAUUAUUUAUAAAUUUAUUCUAAUAUCUUUAAUCAUUAUCUCAUUGUAGUCUAAAUCAUUGGUAAUAUAUGUUUUAAUUUCUGAAUUAUUCCCGCCGGACCAGUGAACAGGCCUUACUACUAGAAUAACCAACCCGGUGUCCUUAACAUUAAUUUCCCCGGAGGUGCACAAAAUUUUGGAUAUUAUUUUUGUACCACUGGUAGCAUGCUUAACUAAUAGCAAUAAUUUAUUCAGCUGCGGCUUCGGCAUGCACUUCCAUAUACAUAAAUCAAGUUAUAGGUUUUUUUUUUUUCCCUCAUGCAAUCGAUGUUCAAAGCUAAAUGAGAACACAACGAAGAUGCUUUCAUGGAAUUAGCAUAAUUGAUCCAGUUGUUCUGAGAUUCUCAGUAUUCGAAAUGUUACUGAAUUAAUAUUUAUCCACUAUACAGAUAGGGCGGAAGCCUUAUGAAGUUAUGGUUGAUUCUUCAAAGGGUUAACUCUAAAAGAAGAUCCACAUGCAAGUGGAUUACAGGAGCAGCCUAACAGAUCCCGGAUUGGUUAUUCGAAGAAAAACCCUCAAAACUCCAAUUCUGUGAUUGGGAGUAACUGAUGAAAUGAGAACCCUGAGUUCAUCUGUCAGUUCAUUCUUUGGUGUGAGUAGAAAAGAAGAUAUAGGACUUGCUUUAUCAUUCUUUUAAAAAACCAGAUCCCCUAUACACAUUUUAAAAAAAAUAUCAUCUUGUACCUUACUCUUGUACAAAAUUUGCUUAACUAUUUGAAUACAUUUGGUCAGGCAUUGAAAUGCAACAUUAUGAUACAUGUAAAAGGAACUCAUAAAGAGAACUUUGGGUUGCUUUUCCACAUGCUAUAUAAAUUAUGUACAGUGUGGGAGCUUACAUAGCCUUUGCAAAGGAACAUUGUGAUAUGUCUAUAAUGGAUAAAGGAGCAGCAACAAAAGCUCCACCAUCGGUUCAAAUGGUUGUGGAAGCAUUAGCCGGAGAUUUAGAAUGGUGAGACACGAAUGAUUCUACAAGUGGAUUCACAAGAUGUGGAGCUUCAUCCUGCAUGCACAUUACUAAUACAGCAAUGAAUUAUCAUCUUUGUUAACAGAAAAACCUGCCGAACCACAGUUUCAUGAGAGAGCAAACCUGAGGGCAGUGGCCAACAUUGGGGAGGACGACUCUACAGUAUAAAAAAUCCCCGUAGGCUCUUCCGAGUUCGAUGCUUUCCCAUGGAUCCUUGUCACCCCAUGCUAUCAAGACAGGACACUGCAAAAAGAGAGAAACAAGCAACAUAAACUAACACGGAAACUAAAGGGAAAAGAAGACGGCAUACGAGAAAUCAGUUUAAGAAACUUACUUCAACCUGCGGAAGUAAUUCCUCGGGCAGGGGACCACCUGUGUAGCAUAUGAACUCAAGAAAAACAUCAACAGCACCAGGCUCAAGUCCUGGAUGUAGGAUAAUCUGAACUAGUUCUUCGGUCACUUGAGAGGUGUCAUGGUAACACUGAAAUGAAACACCAGAAGCAAUCAAGCAAAGAUUGAUUCAUUUCUUACCAAAUUCAUCAUAGGAUACUACCUGACAAAGAAUACUUCUAACAGACUCCGGUGUGGCAACGGAUCCGAAGAAAAGUUACCGACUGCAGUGUUCCUGCCAAGAUAUCAUUACUGCCCGAAAAAUCCAUAUGGCUAGUGCAACAUUUCUAAACUAGAAUGUAAAAAUAAAAAUGGUUCCAUAUCGUUUUUUUACCUAAGCAAACUCCGAAAUGCGCAAUGAAAGGUCUUCCAAACCAUGGUUGCUUUUUGACAUGAAGCAUGCGCAGAGAUAUAUUUAAUAGGAAUAAACCCCUACAGAUCUCCGGCUUUGCUACUGCAGAUUGAAGGCCAACCAGUCCUACGUGAUGACGCCCAUUAUUAUACAGACAUAAGCAUCAAGCAUAAAAUGAAUUAAAACACUAAUAAGGGAAAUUACCUCCAAUAGAGUUACAAAUAAAGAAAGCAUUAUCUUUAACCACACUGCUACAAAAAUCAUUGAGAACCCCAAGUCUCAAAUAUAUAGAAUGAGUCCCCAACUUCACGAGGAUUCGGUUUGUCCGAGUAUCCGUAGCCAAUAAGAUCAAUUGCAUAUACCCUGUGUGAUUUUGCUAGAACAGUGAAAGAAACGCAGGUAAGCUUGAACACUUUAGAAGAAAACUGUUUACAAUUUUAAUUGUUUCUCUUUACUUAGUUCAACACCUAGUCAAAUGAAAAUAUUUAUAGGAAGCAAAUAACUUCCUUGCGUAACAAAUUAGCUAAACACCUUAACAGACCCUAACUACCUCUCUAACCAAUACUAUCUUUAACAUGCAUCCAUCUUCUCCACCGAAACAACCCGAAGAAAAUUCCUAAACCGAGUAAAACACGAAACAGACAGUGGUUUAGUUAAAACAUCUGCAACUUGAUCGUACGCAGGAACUUCCCCAACCAAAACAGAACCAUCUGCAACCUUUUCACGAACAAAAAAUAGAUCUAACUCCACAUGUUUGAAUUUGGAGUGUAACACAGGAUUGGCAGCAACAGCUACUGCACUGGAGCUAUCACACCAGAUAUUGGGCUGAGUAGGUAACCCGAUAUGUAACUCUUGAAGUAACGAAAGUAUCCACAAAACAUCACUGGUGACAGCAGCCAAACUUCGAUAUUUAGCUUCAGCUGUAGACCUAGAUACCACCUGCUGUUUCUUCGAAGACCAAGAUACGGGAUUAGAUCUAAAAAAUACACAAUAUCCUGAAGUAGACCGCCGAUCAUCAAAAUCCAACCCCCAGUUUGCAUCCGAAAAUCCAACUAGAGACAAAGAAUCAGACCUACGAAAAAUAAUUCCAAAAUCAAGAGUACCAGACAAAUAUCGCAAUAUCCUUUUAAGAGCAGCCAUAUGAACUGUGGUAGGAUUAUGCAUGAACUGACAAAUCCUGUUAACUGCGUAUGCAAUAUCAGGCCUAGUCAUGACAACAUACUGUAGCGCACCAGCCAAACUUCUGUACUCCGUUGGAUCAGACAAAGGAUCACCGUCACUCUUAGAAAUAUGCGACGAACUAAUCAUGGGCGUAUGAACACUUUUGGCAUUAGACAAACCACUACGCUUCAACAUAUCUUGAAUGUACUUCCUCUGACACAGAUGAAGACACCUAGAUGAGGACUGGGUAACCUCAAUUCCCAAAAAAUAAUGCAAAUCACCCAUGUCUUUCAACGAAAAUUCAUCAUUCAACAGCUUCACAAACCAGUCAAUAGAUGACGGCACAUCCCCAGUUAUGAUUAUGUCAUCAACGUACACAAGAACAUAGAUAGUGCAGUCAGACUGAACUCGAACAAAUAAAGAUGCAUCCGACUUUGAACCAGAAAACCCAACCGUCAGAAGAAAAGCUUUCAACUUUUCAAACCAAGCUCGUGGAGCCUGACGCAGACCAUACAAAGCCUUUUUUAACCGACAGACCAAGGGUCUCCCAUUAACGCCAAGCUUAACAUAACCAGGAGGUUGUUGCAUGAACACUUCACAAUCAACAUCCCCAUUCAAGAAGGCAUUGUUGACAUCAACCUGUCGGAGCAACCAUUCUUUAGUAACUGCAGCUGACAAUAUAACCCUUAUAGUGACGGGUUUUACAACUGGAGUAAACGUCUCUUGAAAAUCACAACCUGGGACUUGCGAGCAGCCUUUCGCAACCAGACGUGCUUUAUAUCGUUCUACUGUACCAUCUGGGUUUUUCUUGACUUUAAAUAACCAUUUACAACCAAUAACUUUGUGACCAGAUGGUAAAGGUACCAAUUCCCAAGUACCAUUACGAAUCAGGGCAUCAUACUCAGCUUGAGCAGCAGUUUGCCACUCUGGACUCGCAAAGGCCUCCUCAAUCGUUGACGGCUCUACAACUUCAACAGCAAGCACUCUAGGUUUAAAAAUACCCGCCUUUGACCUAGUGGUCAUGGGAUGAAUAUUCACUUCAGGUGCAACACUCUCUGGUCCUGUAGGCGCAGAUGGAAUCAGAACAACUGGUGUGGGAGACUGAUCACCAGACAAUGAUGGACUAUUAGGAGAGGAAAUACUGUGAGGGCUAGUAUUUGUUGGAUCAUCAUGUACUCCACUCUGAGGAACCAACACCCCAUUCGAAUAUGGACUACUAGGAGAGUUAAUAUUUGUUAGACCAUCAUGUACUCCACUUUGAAGAACCAACGCCCCAUUCGAAUUACUCGGGUACAGACACGCAGAACCAGUGCCGGAGUUCUGAUGACACGACAUAUUAGAUUUGAGCAUAGGCAAACAAGCAGAUAUAGUACUCACCUUCUUAGAAGGCAGUGAUAAAGACGUCGGAGAUAGAAAUCGUGAUUCAUCAAACUCAACAUGCCGAGAGACAAUGAUUUUACCAUCAGGCAGAAGACAUUGGUAUCCCUUGUGACAUGAGCUGUAUCCCAAAAACGUGUAUGGUUGUGACCGAAAUUCUAGCUUGUGACAAUGAAAUAGACACAAAAAUGGAUAGCAACAACACCCAAAAACACGUAAAUGAUCAUAAGUAGGAUCAUGUCCAUACAAGACCCUAUAUGGAGUCUUACCAUCCAGUACCGGUGUGGGAAGACGAUUUAUUAAAUGAACUGCACAUGUGAACGCAUAUGCCCAAAACUUCAUUGAAAGUCCCGCUUGAGCUAAAAGUGUGAGUCCCAUUUCCACAACGUGUCUAUGUUUCCGUUCCGCAACACCAUUUUGUUCAGAAGUGUGAGGGCACGUAACUCGAUAAAUAAUACCGUGAGAAGCUAGAACUGGAGCGAAGGCUCGAUACUCCCCACCCCAGUCACUCUGAAACUGUUUGAUGGACUUUCCAAAUUGAUUCUGAACUAGUUUCUGAAACUGAUUGAAGCAAUUCACAGCCUGAGACUUCUGCCGUAUUAAGUACACCCAAGUGAAACGAGAACACAUAUCGACAAACGAGACAUAAUACCAAUUGGUUCCAGAAGCAACUGAGGCAGGUCCCCAUACAUCCGAAACAACCAACGAAAAUGGAUCAGUAUAUUCAGUAGUAGAAACAGGAAAUGGCAACUUAUGAAAUUUUCCCUUUUUACAAGGAGUACAAACAUCACUUAUAGCAACUUUAUUCAUAGCAACUUUAUUUAACACGACAUGACAUUUAUCAAAAACAUCAUUAACAACAUUCAACGAUGGAUGACCAAGAAGUUUAUGCCAUAACAAACACAACUCACUGUCAGCAGUCCGAGUUGGAAUUUCAACUUGAGCAGUAGAUGGAUGAAACGUAACAGGAACAGACGCAUCUGAUAUGGAAAACUGAUAUAGCCCAUUAUGAAUACGGCCCAUCAGCAAAAUCUCCUGUGUCAUGCUAUCCUUAAUCACACAAUAAGUUGAAUGAAAUUCAAAGAACACACCAUUAUCAGUUGCAAACUGUGAUACUGACAAUAAAUUCUUCCUAAUAGCCGGAACACACAAAACAUUAGAUAAUCGAAGCACCCUAGAACGAGUAGAUAUAUCACCCUGACCGACAGAUGAUAUCAUAGCAGGUGUACCAUCACCCAUUAAAAGAGAGGACUUACCUGAAUAUGGAACGGCAUCACGGAUUGCCGAAUCAUCUUGACACACGUGAUUACUGGCACCCAAGUCAAGAUACCAUGAUGUUGUGCCAGCUUGUCCAGGAAUCGGGGAGUCAGAACCAUCCCCACUAACCCCACAUUGUGUAGAGUUAAUAUGCGAACCUGAGAUAGACGGAUCAGAAUAAUCAGAAGCAUGUAAAUCUCCUAACCUAGGAAGUCCAAAACACGGAUUCCACGCGGAGAAAACACGAGCUCGUGGUUUAGUCCGCCAUGGAACACCAAAACCAUCAACCGGUUUAGAUGAAUCAAGCUGCACAUUAUUCGAAAUAGGGUUAGCAUCCAAUAACGAAUCAUUUAGCCCAAUAUUACCAGUCGGACGAACCCCAUCACGCGGCCCAAAAUUUCCAGUAAUUGCACCAUGAGUUCCUCCACCAUUCGGGCCAAGAGUAUGUGGCCUAUACUCAUGAUUUUCAACAAUAGGCCUAAGCCAACCACCAUUCGGGCCAAGAGGUUGUGGCCUAUACUCAUGACUUUCAAUAUUUGGCCUGGGCCCACCACCCAUCGGUCCUGCAUAAGGCGCACUAAAAUUAUUAUAUCCAUCAGCACAAUAAUUUUGACCAAUUUCAAAACUAUUUUGACCAUAUCCAUAAUAAUUUUGACUAGAAGCCACAUUAUUCUGACUAGUGCCACCGCCAUGUUGACCAAAAUUUGAAACUCUAGGCCGUGUAUUCGGUGGUGAAGACCAGCCACGAUCCUCAGAAGCACAAAAAUUUUGCAUCGAAAACUGCAUCGGAGAAGCCUCGUCACGGUGGUACCGAUAGUAGCAACGCUGAGCCACGUGACCGAACCUGGAGCAGAUCUGACACUGGAGACGCGGCCUGAAGUUCCUACCACGGCCACGCACAGUCAAACGACCCCCACGCACCGAACCAUCCGAGGCCGAAAACGAUGAUUCUUCUACCAUAUUUGCACUGUACAAAACUUCCUGAUUCGGCGGAACAUGAUGAGUUUCACAUUCAAUUAGAGCGUCCACCAUACGCUGAAAUGGUAGGGGAGUCGGUGACAACGAAGCAGAGGACACCACGCCUUCAAAUUCGGAUGGAAGACCCGCAAGCAUGACCGCCGUCCGCUCUGCCACUGAUACAGAUGUUCCAGACGCUUCUAGAUGUGCAGACAGACUCUUUAGUUUGGCAACAUACUCUCGGAUCGACAAACUCCCUUUCUUGAAGGAGUGAAGUUCAUGACGCAGCCUGAUACGAGUCACAAAAGCCCAAAUUCUUGAAGGCGAGGCCCAAUAAGCAAAUUCCCAGCCCAAUCAAGAAAUCCAUCCAUACUUAGUUGAAAAUCAGGCCAAAUUGUCAAAGUGGCCCAAGUUGUAAAGUUUUAUUUUUAUUUUUAUUUAUUUAUUUACUUAGUUUAAAUUUUUAUGUCAAUAUUCAGUCCAAGAGUCCCAGAUAAAAUGACCUUUGACCGAAUUUCCAUAUUAAAAUAAUUAGGAGUUUUUUUUUAUUUUAGUUUUCUAAUUAGAUUAGGACUAGUUAUAAGGCAUAUUUAAAGGCAUGGCUGUCCACCUGGUUAAACACUUAUCAUUAUUAUUAAAAUUUCAGAUUUGUUGAGAGCAGAAUUUUCUUUGAGUUUUCUCCAAGAUUUCUCUCUUGAGUUUUCUUUAGAAGUUGUUUUAACAAUCUUGUGAUUGUGGGAGCCAUCUUCAACCUUCUUCUUGCCAUUGAUAUUCUUUGGAGGGGAGAUUAGAGCCGUUUGAAGGGAGUUGUGAGAUCUUUCGAGAUUUCAAGGCUUCUUAGGACUUAUCUUUUAAUUUCUUACUGUCAAUUCUUUCUUUAUUUCUACUUGUGCUGAAUCAUUAUCUAAUCUAUUUUCUGUUCUUAUUGUGUUUUCAGCCUUUUUCUAUCUUAAGGAAUCAGCCCAAAAAUCCCCAAUUUCUAGGGUUUUUCCAUACUCUUUUUGGGUGAAAUUAGAUUGUCGAAAUUUGGGGAAAACUAUCUUGGUGUUCAAUUGGGCAGAAUCACAAUCUCCUUGAGGGUUUCAAGAACCCUAACACUUAUUUCUAUUCUCAAUUUGAUUCUUUGCUGAUUUGGGGAUUUUAUUUCAGAUCUGAAAAUUUAAAAAUCUAAUCUUUUAAUUUUCUGUUUCGUUUCAGAUCUAAUUGUUUAGGGUUUUCGUAGGAGUUUCUCGUGACUUGGCAACUCGAUCUUGGUCCGCGCGCAACCCCGUAUCACAGCCUUUCUUGUCGUAGAUCCGUAUCGGCGGCGAACAUCGCCAACGCCGUAGUCCACACCUCGGAUGCCGAUUGCACAUCCAUAAAAGAGGAUAUAAUGGUCGAGCUUAUAGUAGAAAGAAGCCACGAAGUAAUAAGAUUUUCCUGUUGUGUAAACACAGAUGCCGCCGGAUUAAGUACAAGAGCACCGUCCGAUGCUUGUACAAAUCUCUGCGGCGCAGACACAGAUCCAUCCAGAAAACCAAACAAAUCAUAUCGAUUAACAAUAAAUCGAACCUGUUGCUUCCACUAAAGAAACGUCCCUUCAUCAAGCUUCACGACCUCAUGCCGAGGAAACGAGUUCACCACCCGAUCAGCAGUGAAGACUGAGCCAUUCAAUUCAACGGAGUCGGAGGCAGCAGAUUUUGUCGUGGCCAUUAUCAAGAUCUCUUAGCGACUGAUACCAUGAAAGAAACGCAGGUAAGCUUGAACACUUUAGAAGAAAACUGUUUACAAUUUUAAUUGUUUCUCUUUACUUAGUUCAACACCUAGUCAAAUGAAAAUAUUUAUAGGAAGCAAAUAACUUCCUUGCGUAACAAAUUAGCUAAACACCUUAGCAAACCCUAACUACCUCUCUAAACAAUACUAUCUUUAACAAACAGGAAUAUUUUUCCUCCAAUGAUUACUGUACUAAGCAAGACAUUAGAAGAACUGACAAUUAAGCAUGAACGCAUGGAACCAAGUUAUUUAAAGGAAACCUUUGAAACGAUUAAUAAUUGAUACACAUUUGAAACAUGCAUAUACAAACUGCACAUGCAGAAACCAAUCACUUGUUUGCUAAUGAGAAGAAAAAUUCAACUAUGCAGACCUGUUUGCUCCAAAACCAUGUACUAAAACCAAGGCAGGACUGCUCCUCCCAGAACACUGAUAGCGAGUAGAAGAGCCCUUCCAGUUCCAUGUACUACAGAAACAAUAGAUACAAUGCAACAACAUCAAAAAAUUAAAGAAAAUUAUAUUAAAUUUGUUUAAUUUGUUAUUUGAUUUUACAAAUUUUUUAUGAUAUUUAUUUUUUAUUUAAUUUGGUACACUUAUUUAAUAAAAAUUAUAUAUUUUAGUUUAGAUCUAUAUAAAUUUAAUUUUUUAAAUAUAUUGUUCAUGUUUUGUUUAGGGGCGAAGCCAGAACAAUUUUGCAUGGGGGCCAGAUGAAAUUUUAAUUUUUUAUAGUCUAUAUCUUUAAAAUUUUUAAAGGAUUAAAUUGAAUUUUUAUAAUUUUAGAGGGGCCAAAGUGUAAUUUUACCUUUACUAAUUUAAAAUUUUUAAAAAAAUUCAAAAACCUAAAUAGUAAAUUUACAUUUUAGGGGGACCGGGACGCUGCCAGCCCCUAGAUUCGCCCCUGAUUGUGUUAUAGAAAAAUAAUUAUCAAACAUAUUUUCAUCUUUUUAUUAUUAAAAACAAUUUUUUUUCUAUUUAUGAUACGCAUCUUCUAUUUUUUAAAAUAAGAAACUAAAAAUUAUUUUUUAAAUAAUAAAAUUUUAAAAAAUAAAAUAAAAUAUUAAUUUUCAAUUAAUUUAAUCUACUCAAUAGUUUAACAAACAAACCUUACUUAUUUUUAAAUAUUGUACUAAUUUUUUUUGCAUAUUAAAAAAACAAUAAUCGCUUUUAAUCAAUAAUUACUUUUCUUUGAAUGCAAGAAUUGAGAAAAACAAUUAAUUCAUAAAAUAGAAAAUAUAUAUUUGCAAAACUACAUUUGUAAUUUCAUUUAAAAAUGAAAAAUGAUUUUAUCUAUUUUCCUUUAAGAAAAUUAUUCCAUAUAUCGUCACUAAAGCAUAGCAAAUUGUUUGUUAAAAAUUAUAAUUUUUGAGAGAGGUUAAGUCUCGAACCUUCAACAAAAGGUAUUAUUCCACUAAAGGAAUUUGUCUCUUUUAAGGAAUACAUCGGUGGAUGUAAAUGUUGAAUACAAUGUAUUAUAUAUUAUAUAAAGUAUUUUUCAAAUAAAAUAUAUAUUAUUAAAGUUUUAUAAUAUUUAUAAAAUAUACAACAAUCAUGUAUGUACAUAUAAUUUAUGUUAUUAUUAUUUGAAUUAUUAAUUGGUGUUAUUUAGGUGAAUAGAAACUCUAAUCACCAUUUCUUAUUUAUUGUUGUUAUUAUAUAAAAUAUAUAAUUUUGAUUUUGAUAACAAUUUAAUAAAUACAUAAUAAAUAAUAGAAAAUAGAUACGGAUAUAAUUAAUAAAUUUCUAAUUGUGUUAAUGUGAUUAUUACUUAAAAUAUUUUAUUAGUUAAAACAUAAUUACUGAUUAUUUAUAAAUUUAUUUUAAUAUCUUUAAUGAUAAUUUUUAAUUUUUUUAAUUAUCAUCUCAUUGUCUCUCCAUUUAAACUCAAACACAUAUAACAUUAGGUUAAAUUAUAUUUAAGGUAACUGAACUUAGUAAAUUUAUAUUGUAGUUAUUGGAUUUAAAGGCGAAUUCAGGGAGCUGGCAGGGGCCUCGCCCCUCCCUAAAAUGAAAAAAAAUACCAUUUAGGCCAUUUGAAUUUUUUAAAAUUUUAAAUUAGGAAAUGUAAAAUUGCACUUUGGCCCUCCUAAAAAUGAUAAAAUAUUUAUUUAAUCUUUUAGAAUUUAUAAAAAUAUAGGCUAUUUAAAUGGUAAAAUUGUAUUUUUACUAUCGUAAAAAUUAUAAUUUAAUUUUGGCUCCCUAUUUUUUUUCCUUCGCCCAUGAUUGGAUUAUUCAAAAGUUUUUAUUUAAGUCAUUAGGUUAUUGAGUUUUUUCUUUUUUAAAGUUUGGCUAAUGAGUUUCAAGCGAUGAUUCGCGCAGUCAGUACCCAUCAACUAGUAGAAAAACAUACAUUAGUUUUCAGUCGAUUUAAUGCCUAGUGUUAGAGAUCGAAUAAGAAAACUGUUUGAAUUUUGGUUCAUAAGUUCAUGAUGUUUAAAAUUAUUUUUAUGAAAAUAAAAAGAACUAUGAAAAUAAAAUGAAUUAGAACUUUUGAUUGAUCUCGAUGAUGAGAGCAUAAAAGGUUAUACAACAAUAAUUUUAACCGUCUAAUGACUUAAAUAAAAACUUCUGAAUAGUUAAAUGAACAUUUUAUAAUUUUUUAAAAUUGAAUAACCAAAAUAUUUUAUAAUCUACCAAAGCUAAGUCUUAUCUCCCUGAAGUUGCAGUGGAGCAGAUUGAAGUUACAAAUCUCAUCUCCUUGAAGUUAUAGUGGAGCAGAUUGAAGCGACAAAUCUUGUACCUCUGAAGUUAUAGUAGGUCGGAUUAAAUCUACCAUAGCAGGUCUUAUCUCCCUGACGUUACGGUGGAGCAGACUAAAACCACAACUCUCAUCUCCCUGAAGUUGCAGCGGAAUAGGUUAAAACUACAAAUUUUUUUAUCUCUAAAGUUGCAGUGGAGUGGAUCGAAGCUGUACAGCCCAAUAUUUCCCCAGCCCAAAACCCAAUUAAACCCAAACCCGGAGCCCAAAUUGACCCAACAAAUACAAGUCCAAAUCAGAAAAAAAACUAGCCCAAUACCUAGAAACAAAAAAAAAUGAAAAAACCCUAGCUCCUAACCCUAGCCGCCGCACCUAGGGUCCUCUAACAAGUAGGCGUCGCACGUCCCAUCACCGCUCACCUGCCCUCUGCCAUCACCGCUGUAACAACCCAAUUUUGGGUCUAGUCGAAACAGUGGUUUUGAGACCACAAAUCCGACGAGAAAAAAUGUAAUGGCCUGAGUUUUCAGAGGUGUCGGAACGGUGAUUCGAGAUCACUAAAUUCGACAAAUUGGUAGAAAAUAUUAUUAAUUUAGUGAGUAUAAGUUAAAUGUGAAGUUAGAGAAAUUUUUGAAAUAGUGAAUAGUACACUAGAAAUAAAUAUUAAAAUAAUUAGAAUCGAAAAUGAGGUAUAGAGACCUCGGGGAUUUUAAACCGAGCCAUAAAUAUUUUUAUAAAUACUUAUGUAGUGUUAAAAAGUUAGUAUUAAAGUUUCGUUAAGAAAUUUUAAAGUUCUGAUAAUUAAUUGAACAAAAAGGACUAAAUUGUAACAAAUGCAAAAUUUUGGGAAAUGAUUAAAUAGCUUAAAUGAUAAAAGGAAGAGGGCUUAAAAGGAAAAUAUACCCAAGGUCUAUUUGGGCUGGACGACAAAGGCAUGAAAUCAGCAACAAAAUAAGGAGAAUUAAGCGCAAAAUUGGAAUAUUGCAAAAUUUACUUAAUAAAGUUAGGACCAAAGUGGAAUUAUCUAGAUUUCUCUUUAUUUUUCUGCAUUCUCAUCAGCAAAAACACCAUAGAAGGUUUCCUUAAGCUGUUUCUUCCUAUUUUUACUGCAGGUAAGUUCAAUUCUUGAUUAUUUCUUGAAAAUUUUGUGUUUUUGUGACUUUUAGAACUAGGCCCACUUAUUGUAUUCAUUAGUUUUUGAUUUUAUGAAAGAAGUUGAAAGUUGUUAUGAAUACAUGCUGGAAGUAUAUGAUGAUUUAGCAUGGAAUUAGAGCUUUAAAUUGUUCAUAUGCUGAUUUUAUUGAAAGAAUUAAAUAGAAAGUGAAUGUUUGGGACCUAAUAGAAAAAGAGUUUGAAGAUAGAGUUAUAUGUGGAAAUUCUGAAUUUCAAUAAUUGUGAUACAACUUAUAAUGUCUAGGUAAAUUAUUAAUUGGGAAAAUUAGAUUAAUUGAGGGGUUAAUUGAGAAAGGACCGAAUUGUAUAAACUGUGAAAUUUGGGGCAAAAUGGAAAUCAACAUUUUGCACUAAAGCAGUUUUGGACAGCAGCAGUAGUAUAACUUUGAAAAAUCACCAAAAAAUUUGGGAAUUUAAUUAGAGGGUGAAUAAAAUAUGAAAUUAAAUCUUAUUGAGUCUAGUUUCUCAUAGAAGAAACGGUGUAAGAAAUGAAAUUGUAAAUCAUGAGAUAUAAUAAAUUUUGUGAGACAAUGUCAGAAUGAUUUCGGGUUCCCCUGUUCUUACUUUGGAAAAUCAUAAAAAAUUGAAUAAAAAUAAUAAUGAGUUAUAAUUAUAUGCUUAGAAUACUUAAUGAAUCUAUUUUCAAAGGAAAUAAACAAAAACAUCAUCAGAAUUCUGUACAAUUAGCUAAUUCAUUUUUAGUGAAGGGUGGUCGGAGCUGUCAGACAGCAUAACAGGGGAAACUUUAAAGAAUAAACCGUACUAAUUGGCUGAACCAAAAAUUUUGAAAAUUUUAUGGUAAAAAGAUAUGUGAGUCUAGUUUCAGGAAAAAUUUAUGGAUAUUAAUUUGGAGCUCUUUAUCUCUGGAUAAAAAUAAUGUAGUGACUCUGACUCAGAAGGAUAACUUGGAUUUUACAUACAAUAAAAUUGUGAAAGUAUAAAUAAUAUUGUUUAAAUGUGUUAUACACAUUAAGGAUGAGGAAUGUAGAGGAGGUGGAGAAAAAUUGGGAAAUAUAUGAAUGAUUUGUGAAUAAUUGGUCAUAUACUUGAUUAUAAUUGAUAAACGAUGAAAUAGAAAUGCUUAUAUUUGUGCAUUAUUGACCAUGGUUUAAGCUCAUGUGUGAAAAUAAAGUUUCAUAGUAUGUGUGGAUGGUAUAUUCGGUAUAUGAUUUGGCAUGAAAUAAUGUCAUGAAUGGUUUAUGAAUUAACACAUGUUGCUAAGCCUGAUACAUGAAUAAAUGUUGUGCUCAUCCAUGCUUAUAAUGUUUAUGCUAUAAGUGUAUUUGGCUAACAUAUUUGGUAUACAUGCUUAGGCUUUGGCCAAGUAGUGACUAGACUAUGCCACGUUAAAUUUAUAAGUUAUGCAUUGAUAUGGUUUAUUAUGUGGUUAGACCCAAAAAGAGUUAUGUUUAAAUACAUUAGCUUGCGACUAUGGUUGAAUGAUAUGUUUAUAUCUUGUGUGAUGUGCAUAGAAAACGAGUGUGGAAAGAUAAUGAAAAGUAAGUUCAUAUGGCUGAACUUUUAUGAUUAAUUGUUAAUGUGGGAAUGAUAUAAUGUAUCAAUUCGUAUAUUGUUGUUGAAUUAUGAUUAUGGUAAAAAUAAGAAUAAAAUGAGAUUGUUAGUUCAAAUUAAGGGAUACGCAGGAUUGAGUACAUACGUUCGGUAACCUGUGAUGAUGAAUUGACAAAUAAGUCCAUGGUGGAUCCAUGGCAAAGUGUGAAACAUAGGUAUGGUAUUUCAGUGAAGAAAACCAUACUGAGUUGUGAAAAGUAGGUAUGGUAUUUCGGUAAAGAAAACCAUACUGAGUUGUGAAAAGUAGGUAUGGUAUUCCGGUAAAGAAAACCAUACUGAGUUGUGAAAAAUAGGUAUGGUAUUUCGGUAAAGAAAACCAUACUGAGUUGUGAAAAGUAUGUAUGGUAUUUUGGUAAGAAAACCAUACUGAGUUGUGAAAAGUAGGUAUGGUGUUUCGGUGAAGAAAACCAUACUGAGUUGUGAAAAGUAGGUAUGGUAUUUCCGUUAAGAAAACCAUACUGAGUUAUAGCAAUGUGAAAUAUUCAAGCAAAUCAUGGCACCAAGCAAACGAUAUACUCAAAUCCGUAAGACGAUCCUUAAUUUGACAAGUAUUUGUAGUACAAUUGAAGCUAAAUGUUGGAAUAUAAGUUGACAUCUAAUAUUGAGCUAGAUUGGAUAAAUUCAUUAUUUGAGAUUGUGGUUGGCCGGAAAUGUUACAUUAUAUAUAUUAUGAAGAAUUAUAAAAGCAUGUUAAUAAUUUUCAAAGUUUUAAUUUAGAUGAAAUUUUAUAACUCGGUUAAAUACGUCUUCAAGUGUAUGUGUUUUGGUAAUGCCUCGUACCCUAUUCCGAUGUUGGAUAUGGGUAAGGGGUGUUACAACCGCCACUGCUCCACCGCCUUCAAGUGGCCUGCAAGAAAUGACAAAAAUAAUACAAAAAUGUUGUAAAAAAAAGGCUAUAAAAGCCAUUGAAAAUCUGUAAUGGGAGGUUCUUUUCCCUUUUGAUGAACAAAAAAAUAAAAACAUAACACUUUCAAACAAGGAUUCAAGCAAAUCAGCAAAAAAAAAGAGAUAAAAAACAAGGGCAAUACGAAAGGUCCUUCUUUUUAUUAUUAUUAUUUUUUCUCUCUUUGUUUUCGGUUUUGGACUGUUUGUAUUAGAAAUUUCUUUUAUUUUUCUUUUAUUUUUAAACUAUAUAUAUAACAUAUAGAAGUAAAAAAAAUUACCUUUGAAUUUUCCACGGUGGCCGGUGCAACGGCGUCGACGGCGGUUCUCCUCACCGGAUCUGGGCAGUGCUGGAGAGGGGCAGAGGAAAUUUGAGAGCUUUUGUCUGUUUUAUUUUGAGAAAGAAGGAGAAAUGAAAAAUUUUGAAAAAAAUUUGGCUCAAAUAGGCUUCCAAAACGAUGUCGUUUUGGCCAGCCUUCUUAGGUACCAAAAUGGCGCCGUUUUAGGGCCGAUCCACGUGCGACCCGACUCGCUCCAGGGGGAUCUGCGUGUUUUCCAUGGAAGGGCUAAUUGCACUUUUAGCCCUUCCACUUUUUUAAUGUUUUCCAAUCAAGUACUUUUAGUUUUUUUAAAAUUUUUACCUCGGAUUGUUUUUGCAUUUUCAAUUUAGUCCCUACUGAACUCCGCAUUUUGCAAGAAUGGGAUUAUUUCCCAUUUGCCCCCUCCUAGUUUUUCGCGUGUACAUUUUGGUCUUUUUUCCCUCUUAUUUAUUUUGAAUUUGCCCCGAAAUUUUGUUUUUAGCUCAAUUUAAUCCCUUUUUUCAUAUCUUUGCUAUUUUAUCGUUAUUUUCAUUAUUAGUAGUAUUAUUAUUUAUAUUAUUAAUAUUAAUAUUAUUAUUAAUGUUAUCAUUACUAUACUAUUAUUACUAUUAUUGUUAUUAUUAUUAUUCACUUAUUUAUACUUUUUUUUAACUUCAAAUUUUGUUAUCUAUAUAUACACUUGUAUAUAUAUUUUUAUAAUAUACAUACUUUUUAUAAUACAUAUACACGUACAUAUUUCUAACUUUUGUAAAUAUAUAUACACAUAUUUUUAUAUAUAUAUUUAUUUAUUUAUUUUUAUUUUCAUAAUUUUUAUAUAUAUUUAUAUACAUAUAUACAUACGUGCGUUUUUAUAACAUAUAUAUACUUGCACAUUCUUUAUAUUUUAUAACUCAUAUGCAUGUCUAUAUAUCUAUGUACGUAUCCUAUUUUCAUAUACAUAAAUACAUACUUUUGUAUGCCUUCCAUAAUUUUUACAUACAUGCAUGUACAUAUACAUAUUUUAAUUUACAUACGUAUAUAUGUAUAUGCUUACAUAUAUAUAUUUUAUAUAAUAAUUUUAAAUAUGUACAUACAUAUAUUUUCUAUAUUUCCAUAAUUUUAUGUAUAUACACAUAUAAAUAUCUUUUAUAUUUUUUAUAGUUUUAUACAUUUUCUUUGUUUAUUUCUUAAUUUAAAUUCUCAUCAUUUGUUUUGAAUUUUAUUGCUUAUAUGUUUGCGAUUGUGUAGUAUAUUAGUUUGUCUUUGUAUUUAUUUUAUGUUAUUUUGUAGCCCUUGCUCGUAUUAUUUUGCUUACAUCAUCAUAAUUAUCAUUCCAUUACGUCAAUUUUUACCCAGAUUCAAAAAAAAAUUUUAAAAAUAUAAGUAAUACUCGAUAUUUGGGAUCUUCGAGAGAAUCGAGCCCUAACGUAUUGGGUUCCGAUUUUCUUCGUUGAAUCUAAAUAAUCAAGAUUACUCUUUUAAAAAAUGUAUAAUAAAAAACUCAUUAUCGGGAAUUCCAUACGUUGUGUCCUAACGCAUUGGAUAUGACAUGUUGUUUUCCCGAGAUGAGAAUUUUUUCUAAAAAAUAAUAAAGGCAGUAUUUUGCAUUUAGAUUUGAGAAAGUCAUGCCCUAACUUACUGGUUUUGAUUUUCACAAUAAAUCUAAAUACGUGAAUCUUUUCAAAGUCAAGUUUUAGACGAUCUCGGGAAUUAAAAAAGAUCGUGUCCUAACUUACUGGUCGUGAUCUCUUUUUUAAAUCCGAGAUAACUAAAUAUCUUUUUAAUAAGUACAUUUUUGGCAUUCAUUCGCGUAUCGGGAAUUCGAGACAUUGUGUCCUAACUUACUGGAUAUGAUGCAUUUUUCUCGAUUAACGUGAAAUAUGCUUCUUUUCCCAAAAAUGUUCAACAUUUUACUACAAGGAUCGUAUUUUUAAAAUUCUUCAAAGUUUUCAUUUUUGACAUUAAGACAUUAACUAAUCAACUAGGUACCAAUUUUUGGGCGUUACGAGUGUGCUAAUCCUUCCUCGUACGUAACCGACUCCCGAACCCAUUUUUCUGAAUUUCGUGGACCAAUAUCGUUGUUUUAAUAAAAUCAAAUUGUUUAUUAAAAACGACCACUUUUCAAGGUGAUCCGAUCACACCUUAUUAAAAAGGAUUGGUGGCGACUCCCGUUUUCGUUUUCAUUUUCAAAACUCAAGUUGACCCAUUUUAUCAAAAAAUGGUGUCAACAGAAGCAACAGGAUGCAGUGGACUAAAAUAAGGCUACUUGAAGAAAAUAAGCACCAAAAAGUCAAAAUUCGACAAGACCAGACAAAAUUGAUUUAACACCUCAAACCCAGCCUAAACAUUAAGGCCGAAUCUGGUGAUGUCACAUUGUAACACCUCUUACCCGUACUCAACGCUGGAAUAGGGUACGAGGCAUUACUAGAAUAAAUACACUUAUAGACAUAUUAAACCGAGUUAUAAAAUUUCAUUCAAAUUUAAACUCUUCAAAUUUUUAACAUGCUUUUAUAAAUAUUCACGUUAUAACUUCAAAAUACUAUAUUUGUAUCCUCAAAAUAUUAUAUUCAUAAUAAAUAGGGUCUGCUAGACCCGAUACUUCAUUUCCAUUUCAUUUAAUUCAAAUCAUAUCAUAAUUCACAUACAGUUCAAUUUCAUUAAGUUCAAUACUAAUACAUAUUUAUCGUUUAACUUAACGUACCUUUUUUGCGUCAUUUUACACUUCAAGCAUGAACUUAGUAUUUCGUUUCCUUUCCACUCCCGUUUCCUAUGCAUACCACACAAGAUAUAAACAUUACACUCAACCAUAGUCGCAAACUAGUCUUUUUGAAGACUAACCACAUGAUAAAUUAACCAUUUUAACAAAGAUUACAAACUUUAACAAAGAUUACAAACUUUAAACCUUACCACCCUUUUAUGAUCACAAGCAUAUUUCCAUCUAGACAUUUACCAUUUCAAUGCAUAAUUUUAUAAAUUUAAUGUGGCGUAAUCCAACCACAACUUGGCCAAAGCCUAAGCAUACACACCAAACAUGCUAGCCAAAUAAACAUAUAGUAUAAGCAUUAUAGGCAUCAUUUCUAUUUCAUCAUCUAUCAAUUAUAAUCGGGCAUAUGACCAAUUAUACUCAAAUCAUUCAUAUAUUUCCCAAUUUUCCUCCUCCUCUUCUCCAUCCCACAUCCUUUAUGUAUAUAACAUGCUUAAAUAGCAUUAUGCGUAAUUUUACUAUUCACUUAUAUUCAAAUUCAAAGCUGUCUAUUUGAGUCAGAGUCACUAAAUCAUUUUUAUCUAGAGCUACAGAGCUCCAAAUUAAGAUCCCUUAAUUUUUUCCGAAACUAGACUCAUAUAUCUUUUUACCAUAAAAUUUUCAGAAUUUUUGGCUUGGCCAAUUAGUACAGUUUAUUCUUUAAAAUCACCACUAUUUCACUUCUCAACAUCUCUGACCUCUCUUCACUAAAAAUGAAUUAUCUCAUUGUACAAAUUUUGGAUGGUUCUCUCGUUUAUUUCUCUUAAAAAUAGACUCAUUGAGGAAUUUAAGCAUGUAAACUAAAAACCAUAAUUAUUUUUUUAAAAUUUAUAGUUAUUUUUCCAAAGUUGAAAUAGGGGAUUUCGAAAUCAUUCUAAUACUGUCUUACUAAAAUUUAAAUAUCUCAUAAUUUAUAACUCUUUUCUUAAUCUAUUUCUUCCAUAUGAAAAUAGACUCAAUAACCUUGAAUUUCAUAUUUUAUUCAACAUUUAAUUCACUUUCCACUAUUUUUGGUGAUUUUCCAAAGUGAUACCAUUGCAUGCUAUCCAUACAAUUUUUAUUGCUAAUUUUAUUCAAUCAUGUUUUCUUUGCAUUAAUUCUCACUUACACUCUCAUAACACUAAAGUAUAUUCAUAAUAGCCAUGCCAAUAGCUAUUCAUCAUCAAUUAUUUACAAAUCUUCGUUGUUUUAACACUUGUUCCAUAUCAACUUCACUCAAGUUUGACCACAUAUCACGCACAUUGCCCACCACAUAUUCACAUUCAUUUCCACUUAAUCAUUUUCCGGUUGAACACUUAAGAAUAUUAUUGGAUACGUCAGAAAUUUGCACAUAAGUGCCACACUUGUAGCAAAAGCAACUUCACAUCAUUUUUCACUUUAGCUCGUUCUCGAGCUAUUCACUUUCUCAGGUCUGCUCACACAAGCUGUCAGUCUUUUGUUACUACUCAGUGCUGCACUAUUGCUUACAUAAGCUGUCAGGUAUCUGCAACAUAUGCCGGUAUACCCAGCCACUGGUAGAACUUAAGACCAACACCCGAGUUCACAUUAAUCACAGUUUCGCAUCACGACCUACUCACACAAGCUGUCAGUCAUUCGUUACUACUCAGUGCUGCUCACACAAGCUAUCAGGUAUCCGCAACAUAUGCCGGUAUACCCAGCCACUGGUAGAACUUAUGACCAACGCCCAGAUCCACUUUAUUCACAAUUCCACAUAGAUCUCUAAUGACAUGCCACUUGUAUCCCAUUAUAUUCCUAAGGUUCAACCGAGAAAAUUUCCCACACUUCAUUAUUUUGUAAAUUUUUAUUCGAUAUUCAAUCACAUAUAUCAUAAAAUAUAUCUUUCAUCCACAUAUCAUAAAAUAUGUCAGAACAUAAAAUCAUAAAUAAAAAUUGAUGCAUUAUUUACAUAAAAAACUUACUUUUGUGCAACAAUAUAGAAAUUUAGAAAUUUAGUCUUUAAUCUUUUCUUUUCUCUAAUCAAGGUCGAUUCCACUUCUUUCUUGAUCUAUAAUAACAUAUUUAGUUUAUAUAACAUUCACAUUAUUCAAUCCAUUCCAAAAAUCACAUUUUGGAAAAAUUACAUUUUUACCCUAAAGUUUAACAAAAUUACGAUUUUGCUCCUAGGCUCAGAAAUUAAACUUUAUUCCUUUUUCUUAUGUUUUAUAACAUGCUGAACAUUUUUAUCUUCUAUAGCAACAUCAAAUUCUUGCUAUAACAUGCACUUAUGAACAAUAAUAAUUUUUACCGAUUAUGUCGUUUCACUUGUUUUCACUGAAAAUCGCUUAGUAAAAAUUGUUUAACACAAUUUCAAGCUUCAUAUUCUACCAUAAAACAUCAAAAUAAACACAUUUCACCUAUGGGUAUUUUUCCAAAUAUAAACCCUAGGUUAAAUUAUUGCUAGAAUAAGCUAAAUUAAGCUACCGGGACUUCAAAAACGUAAAGAACAUUAAAAACAGGGUUUAGAAUCACUUACUAUGGAGCUUGGAAGCUUGAAAACCCUAACCAUGGCUUUCCCCUUGCUAUUUUCGUUCAUCAUGGAGAACAUGGACAAAUUUUUGGCUAUUUUGGUCUUUUAAAUUCUUUUAAUUACUAAUUGACCAAAAUGCCCCAACUUAAAAAUAUCCUAUUUCACUUAUCUCUUGUCUAUUUUUGUCCAACAAGUUAACCAAUGGUCUAAUUACCAUUUGAGGACCUCCAAUUUAAAAUUUCAUAACAAUUGGAUACUUCUAACAAGUAGAACUCAACUUUUGCACUUUUUACAAUUUAGUCCUUUUGGCUAAAUUGAGUGCCCAAAUGUCGAAAUUUUUGAACAAAUCUUUUUAAAAAACCAUUCCGUGAAAUUGUAGACCAUAAAAAUAUAAUAAAAAUAAAAUUUUUCUCGUCGAAUUUGUGGUCCCGAAACCACUGUUCCGACUAGGCCUAAAAUCAAGCUAUUACAAUUGGUCCUUUUAAGGUAUUUUCUCUGUUUUCGUUACAAUACAACAAGUAAAGAAGGGAAUCUGUAAUAGGUCAAUUUUGGCCUGGGCCCAGAUCAAAAAUAAAAAAAAAACAAACCCAAAUAAAUAAAAGUCCAAAAAGAUUAAUAAUCCAUUACAAUGAAUAAAAGCCUACCACCCAAUUACCAGCCCAAAACAAAAAGCAAGCCCAAUCAAACUAGUCCACUACUCAAUCAAAUAACCAAAACUAAAACCUAAUAGCCCAAAAUUAACCUAGCCCAAUUAGCCCAACAUCUAAACAAAACAAAAACCCUAGCCUCCUAAGGCUCCAACUCUGCAUGUCAGAACCACCUACGCUACACACCAUCGCCGCUCGAGGCUCGCCUGUACGUUUUGAAUCCCACCGCCGCGAGUAGAGGAGGUCAUUGUUCCCAAUGAUGGACGGUUAUCUUUGGUAAAACGGAAGAAAAACCGAAGGGAUUCUUUUGGGUCAAGUUUUUACAAAAAAAAAGCCCUAGAUCUGGGCUUUACGCGUCAGAGCGCUCAAAACGGGAGUUUUUGGUGAACUACGGCCACCGUGGAUGGUGACCGCCAUCGUCGGCUGAUCGCCACGGCGGUGUUUGAUGAUCGGACCUAGUGGCUUUGAAAGAAAGGGGAAAGAGCUUUUAGAGUUUUUUUUAAACAAGGUUAAAAUGAAAGUUUUUGAAAAAAUUUUGAUUUAAAUAGCAGUUGUGAAACGACGCCAUUUCACUUAGGCCCUUUAAUGCCAAAACGAUGUCGCUUUCGGGGGCCGACCCGAGACCCGACCCGCGCGGCUAGGAUCCGUGUGUUUUCUAGCCCCUGGGAUUAUUUUCGCGGUCGAUCCUUCUGCUUUUUUUGCUCAUUGUCAAUUUAAUCCUUUUUUAUUUUUAAUUUUACCUUGUGAUUUUUGCAUUGUUUCAUUUUAGUCCAUAUUAGAACUGUGCGUUUUGAAAGACAGGGAAUAUUUUCCCUUUUGGUCCCUCCCUUUUAUUUGCUCAUUACGAUUAGGUCCUUCACCUCAUUUCAAUUCUCGAUUCCUCCCCUAAAAUUUUGUUUGGCUUUCAAUUUCAAUCCUUAUUUUCUUUUGUUUUAUUUUUUAAAUACUUUUGCAUUUUUAUAUUUUAUAUUUUUAUUAUUUAAAUUUCUACUUUUAAGUUCAAUUUAAUCUUGAUUUAAUCAUUAAUCUAUUUUAUUUCCACCUUUCCACAAACUUUUUAUUUUAUUUUAUUUUAUUUAUUUAUCAUUUCUUCUUCCUUUUACAUUAAAAAAAUAGAUUAUUAGUACUCUAUUUUUAAUGGUGCGUUUUUAUUAUUGUUGUUAUUAUUUCAAAUAUCUUAAUGUUAUGUUUAUUUAUCUUUUUUAAAUUGUGCAUUUUCCAUUUCCAUUUUUUAUUUUAAGUUACUUUAUUUAUCUUAUUAUUGCGAUCUGGUUAUUAAUAUUAUUACUAAUAAUCAAUUCAUGUCACAUUAAUUUUUACUCGAAACAGAAAAAGGAAAUUUUCAAAAUUAAGGCAAUGUUCCGUAUUUGGAAAUCUGAGAAGUCGUGCCCUAACUUACGGGAUUCGACUUUCUAUUUGAACCAAGACAACCUAAUAUUUUUUUAAAGCAUAUAGGAUUUUAAUUAAAAAAUAUAUUUUUAGGAAUUAAGAAAAGUCGUAUUCCUAACUUACAGAAUAUGGCUUCUUUCUAAAACCGAGAUAAUUAAAUAUUUUAAAAAAAUAUUUUUUUCCAUGUUUAUUCUCGUUUUGAGAAUUUAAGGCAUUGUCUCCUAACAUACGUGAUGUGAUUAUUUUUCUCGAUUAACUCAAAAUAAAUCCAUUUUCGUGUUAAAUAAUAAAAGAUCAUAUCUUAAAUCUCUUCAAAUUUUAAAUUUUCGACACUAAAGACGCCAAGUAAUCAACUAGGUACCAAUUUUGGGUUUAUCAGUGGUGCUAAUCCUUCCCCAUGCGUAACCGACUCCAGAACUAGUCUUCUGGAUUUUUUAGACCAAAAAUCAUCAUUUUAAUAAAUUUAAACUUGUAUUAAAAUGAUUAAAUUAUGAGGUGAUCCGGUCACACCUAAAUAAAAAAGAUUGGUGGCGACUCCCAUUUUCAUUUUUAAAAUAUAAAGUCGACCUUUCAAAAAAAGGGGUUUCGACAGUAAAUAUCUUCUUCUUUUUUUCACAUGGAUAACAAGCGAGUUUCUUUCUUUAUUUCUUUCUUUUUUAAUUUCAAAAUGUCAAUUAGUAAAUUUAAUAGAAGAAUUCUUACUGUAAUAAUUAGACCCGAUUUUUUAAAUUUAGAAAGUAAAGAAAUUGUACGGGCCCAAUUUUACCCGGGCCUUAAACACCAAACAAACAGCCCACAUAAACAAAAAUUAAUAAACAGUCCAUGACCCAAAACCCAAAUUACACCCGGGGCCCAUUACAAGCAAACCCAAAUAAAACCCAAACCCGAAUGGCCCAAUACCCUUCAGCCCAAACCAAUACCCAAGCCCGAAAACCAAAGUCAACUUAGGGUUUCAGUGUCUGAAACCCUAAGCGCCGCCUGCUUCAGACCUUUGGUCUUCUGCCGCCACCACCGCGCGUCUGUCACCGCCACUGUCGUCCGUCAAUCAUCUACAGGAAAUAUACACGCAAACAACAAAUAACACAGCAAAAAUAGCAUAAAAAUAUAAAGGAAAUCGGCUAUAAAAGGCCGGAUUUCCCCCCUGUAUUUCUUCUUCUUUUUUCACGAGAUCAAUACAAAAAAGCAGAUUAAAGAAAUAGAAAGGUUGAUCCCAAAGUUUUUCUUUCUUGUUCUGUUAUUGUGCAUUUCCUUUCACUGUUAUUAGUAUUUUUUUUACUUAUUUUCUUUAUUCUUUUAAACUAAAAGAAAGUGAAAAGAAAAAGGGGGAGAGGGUACCUACCUGUCUCGAAAGCCCGUCGCCAAAGACCCUAUUCGGUGUUGGAAUCGGACGAAAAGGGGUGCGAAGGACCCCUCCUUUUUCAUCUUUUUUAGACCAACAGGGCCUGGUUUUCGUGUGUGCUGUGAAUCGGGGCUGAAAAGCUUUUUUUUUUGCGCAACGCCAGCCACCGCUCACGGUGGCGCUACGGCGGUGGCGCUACAGCCGAUUGCCAUGGCCGGUUAGAGGCCUGAGAGAGAGAGCUUGGCUCUCUGUUUUUUUUAAGAAGGAUGAAACUAAAAUUUUUUUGGUUUUUUUAUAUAUAUUUAUACUGAGCUCGAAACAGCGCUGUUUAAGCCCCUGUGACCCGCGUGCGAUCCUACCCGCUCCAGGGGGGAUCCGCGUGUUUUCAUGAAAUGGGCUAUUUGUGCCUUUGGUCCCCCCAUCAUUAAUUUGUUUUGUUUUAAUUCUUCUGCUUGUUUGUUUUUUAAUUUGACCUCGUGUUUUUACACCUAUUUCAUUUCAGUCCUGCAUGAAACGGUGCGCUCUAAUGGACUGGGGAUAAUUUCCCAUAUAGUCCUCGCGUUUCUGCAGCGCGUUACAAUUUGCCUCUCUUUUAGUUUUUUUUCUUUUAUUUCAAUUUGACCGUUUAACUUUUUUUUGUUCCAUUUUAGUCCUGUGAAGUGCUGCGUUUUGGGAGAUGGGGAUAUUUUCCCCUUUAGUCCUUCCUUGUUAUUCGCACACUCAAUUCGGUCCUUUCCUUUUAAAUUAUUUACAUAUCUGCCCCCCGAAUUCCUGUUUCAAAACCAAAUUAGUCUUUUUUUUAUCUAUUCACCCAUUUUAUUAUAAUUUAGACUUCAAAAUUUAUUUUAACUUCAAUUUGACCCUCUGUUCGUUUAAUUCCAAGUUAUUUUGUUUAUUUAUUCUUUUUGUUUUGUUUUAUUUAGUUAUUUAUUUAUUCUUGCAUUUAUUUAUUUCUUCAUUUCCCUUGUAUGAUUAGUUUAUCAUAUUGUUUAUUCCUCUACUUACACUAUAUUAUUAUUGUUGUUUAUUGCUAUCAUUCUUAUUAAUGAUUAAUUCAUUUUUAUAUUUCUAUUAUUAGAAUAAACAACUAAUACGGUUAUUGUUAUUAUUGGAUGAUUAUUGUUAUAAUUAUGUCAAUAUUAUUUUAUGCUUUAUGAUUUAUUAUUUAUUUUUUUUAUAUCUACUAAUAAAGUUAUUUCAUGUUACAUUAUUAUUGUACUUUGUAUUGUAUAAAAUAAAUGUUAGUCUUUAUACUAUACUUGCAUAAAUUAAACUUACAUCUCAUCAAAUAUUAUGUUAAUUCAUACUCAAAAAGAAAAAUUUUCAAAAUAAAGCAACAUGUUGUAUUUAGAAAUUCAAGAAAGUCGUACCCUAACUUACGGGGUUUCAAUUUUCUCGAAAACUCGAAUACACGAAUCGUUUCAAUCAAAACUUUUAAAUAUUAUCGAGAAUUUAUAAAAGAUCGUGUUCUAACUUACGGGACAUGAUCUCUUUUAAUAAAACCCGAAAUAAUUGAGCUUUUCCAAAAAUAAUUUUUUUGGGCAUUUAUUCUCACAUCUGGAAUUUUUGAUAUUGUGUCCUAACUUACGGAACGUGAUUUCUUUUUCUCGAAUGACGUGAAAAUAUGCCUUUCUCUCUAACUUAUACAAGUUUUUAUACAAGGAUUGUAUCUUUAAAAAUUUUUCAAAUUUUUCAUUUUCGACAUUAGGACAUUAAAACAUUUUAAUCUGCAACACAUGUAAAUGAAUAUUAUUGGGUUUUAAAUUAUUAUUUUUUUAAGAAAAAUCGAAUCGAAUCGAAAUUGGGAAAAGAAAUUGGUGUUCUUUACAUAUCCUUAACUUCAUGGGUGAUUAGGGAGGUGGCCCGAUUGAUAGAGAUUAGGUCGAUUUUGGAUGGUUUAGAGCCGGACCAUUAUGCAUUAUUAAAUUCUCAAAGCCCCACAUUCAAAUUUGUUGAGCUAAUAUGACAUAAAAUAAAUGAUGGAGCACAAAAAAAUUUAUAAUAAGAAAAUUCAUUUAUAUAAAUUAGAAAGUUUGUGGAAAUCACAAAUUUAAAGCGAAAAGAUUAAAAUAUCUUCAAAUAAUAUUAUUUACUUUAAUUAUGGAAUGAUAUUUUCGUAAUAUUUUAACCGAAUUGAUACCCAGUUAAUUCAUGACACUAAAUUAAUUAAAAAUUUAUAUAUAUAUACAAAUACGAUCAAAACACUUCAAUUUAUUAAAUUCAUCUCUAUUUUAUAAAAAAGUUUAAAAAAUUAAUCCAUUUAUUGAUAAAUACAGGAAUUCGAUUUUUGUGUAUUUAAAUAAAUUAACUAUUUUUGUCCGUAAAAAACUCAAUUUUUAGAUCUUUUAAUUCUAAUUUUUCAGAACCCAUAUUUUACUCUAAUUUAAACCUUUUAGGAAUAUAUUUAAAAAAAAUUCCUUUUUGAGGAAAGAUGGAGUGAAAAGGAUAGAUUAUUCAACUUUGCUUAUAUUUGGAAUUAUAUAUGAAAUUAAUUGGGGAAAGCUCAAAAAAUAAAAAUUAAAAAAGGCAAUUCGUUAAAUUUAUUAAAUAAAUCACUUUUAUGAUUAAAAAGACUAGUUUCAUUCAUAUAUGUCCACAUAUCACACAGUAGUGUUGAGAGUCGUUUGGAAAAAAUCCAAAAAUUAGAGAAAAAAAAAUAAAGGGUUCUCCUAUAUGUUUUUGGUAGAGUUUGGAGACAUGAGCAGGUAUCUUAAUAGAAUUUAAUCAUAUAUAAAUAUAUAUAUAUAUAUAUAUAUAUAUAUUUGAGUGAGUCUCAUAAUAGAGGAAACAAUUAGACAUACAUGUAGGGGUAACGCUAGGGGUUGCAACCCCCUUCAACGAGGAAUUUUCUCUUUAAAUAUUUUAGAAUAUGUAAAUGUUAAAUUAAUAUAUUAACUAUACUAUUAGUCAUCAAACUAUACGAGUAAUUUAAUUUUCGUCAAGUAAUUAAUGGUAGACUAAUUGCCUAUACUAACUGUAACAACCUAUUUUUUAGUGGUGUUGAAAAUAAUGACUUCAGGGCUAUAAAUUUGACAAGUAUAUUCGUAAAUAUUAUUAUAUAAUAUUAAAAUCCACAUAUCACAAAACAAAUAAAAAAACAAAAAAAACUCGGAUAAACAAAAUUAAAAUCCACCCUUCGUAGAUUUUUAUGUGUUUAGUCCUUUCAUGAGAAAUAGGAUUUGGUGCUAUCUGUAAAGCCAUCUGGUUGUCAAAAUGCAGUCGCACAGUUUUCUUCAUUUUAACUCCUAUUUUCUUGAUUAAUCCUAUUAUCCAUACUACUUCUGCUAUUGUUAUUUCCAUCUAGAAAGAAACAAGAGCAUCUCCUAUUUUAAAGCAAAAACCUGAAGUUGACCUUCUUGUCAUAGGACAUGCAGCCCAACCUGAAUCACUGUAAGUUUCUAAUUGCAGGAUGCCUUUUGCAAACAACAAUAUCGCUUGUCAUAAAUCCUUUUUAAUAUACUCGACUAUGCUAAGUACAUCUUCAUAGUGGAACUUCUUUGGCUGCUGCAUAAACUAACUAAGAUAUUGAACCGAAUAGUUUAUGUUUGGUCUAGUAAUAGUUAAAUAAAGUAACUUUUAAUGAGUCUUUUAUAUGCAGCUGUAUCUUGAUUUAAUGGUUAAAUUAAUAAUUUUAGUAAUAAAAGGAUCUGAUUGGUAUAACAUCGAUAAUUAAAUAAUAUAAUUAAAAUAUUUUGAAGAUAAUUAGUACAAUUAACUAAAACAAAUAAUUUAAUACAGAAAUUAAACAAUAUAAUAAAAAAUUCGAGAUUCAUAAAUCAUAACAAAUUUGGAAGAAACAGAUUUGGUGGAUUCAUAAAUAUCAUUAUUGAUUUUUUUAUUUUUAAAAUGUAUUAUUUAUACAAUAUUAAAGAAGGGUUAAAGAAUAAUAAAAUUUGAAAUAUAUAGUUUUGAUUUUGAUAAUAAUCAAAUAAAUACAUCAUAAAACUUAAGUAAAUAAUUAUUAGACUACCAUAAAUAAUUAUCAGGCAUGUCAAAAUUUAGUACUUUAGUAAAUAAUAUUUAGAUUAUUUAAAAAUAAAUAUAUUUAUUAAAGAAAUUAAGGUUUAAAUUUUAAUUUUGUGGAUUUUUAUUGAGUUUAGAUAAAAAGAUAAAAACAUAUUUAAAAUAAUGUAAAUAUAAUAUAUUUUAUGAUUUUAAAAGAUAUGAUUAUGAUAUCACACAAUUUCUAUUUUUUUCUUUGUCUUUUUUUAGCAAUAAAUUGGUGACACCGGUGUUAUUUUAUUACGGUCUCAGUCUACUAGUGUCGAAGAAACAAAGCUUAUUAUCAGAGAGAAGCAGCGUUGCCGGAAAAUGGCUUGCCUCAAUGCCCGACGAUCUCUAUCCACCCUUUUAAGCCGCGCCCUCACUGCUUCUUCUUCUUCUUCCUUUCCUUCCCGUUCUCGCCUCACUGUUGCACUCCUCAACAAAACCCCAGUUUUUAUCCCCGAAGCAACCAAAAUCCUGACCCGAACCAAGACAUCCGGGUCCGGCUACUCGCCUUUGAACGACCCAUCUCCUAACAGUAGUAGCCCACGACCAUCGGUUCUCCUAGAUGACAGUUCUUAUGAGCAUUGGCUUAUCAUUUUGGAAUUCCCAGAAUGCCCGAAACCUUUGGAAGAAGAAAUGAUCGAUGCCUAUGUUAAAACCCUCGCUUCUGUUGUCGGCAGGUUUUUAAAUUAUAAUUAUUCCUUCAAAUUUCAUUAAAUCUGGGUUUUAUUUUCUUUUUUGUUUGUCUGAUCUUGUAGUGAAGAGGAAGCGAAAAAGAGAAUAUACUCUGUUUGUACAACGAGGUAUACUGGGUUUCGUGCUUUUUUCUCUGAGCAUUUGGUCGAAAAACUUGGAGGUAAUAUCAUUUCCCAUUUACUAGGGUUUAGGGUUUACAUGGUUUUCCCUUUUUCUAGUGUAAUUGGAACAAGAAACGGGUUUCUUGAAACAGUGGGUUUUCAGAAAGAAGAAAGAAUUAACAUUGGUUUUCAUUGUGUGUGAUGUGUUGCUAGCUGUUUUAGGGUUUUAAACCUCCCGAUGUGAUUGCUUUCUAUACUAAUUUAUUAGGGUUUAAAUGGUUUUCCCCAAUUGCUUUUGUGAGUGUUUUUGAACUUACAAUUGAUGAGGCAUCCACUUUGUUCUAAAAUCAAUUGGCAUUAUGUUUCUACAGUGUUACCUCGUGUACGCUGGGUUUUACCAGUUCGGUAUUGUAGCCGAGAUCAUUAUUAUGCAGGUGGGUAGUUUAAAGAUGAAGUUUGCUGCUUACAGCCAUUGAAGUUCUCAUUGUCAACAAAUUUAAUCUUUUUUUUAUUGGUGGAUUGAUUGCCAGGGGAUCUGUUUGUUGAUGGGAAAGUCUUUCAUAGACCGCAAUUUCCAUGGGUUGGUGUUCCAAAUAGCAGCCACAGAGUUGGAGGAUGUGGUGAUCAUGAGCUUUGGCUUAUCACUUUCGAAUUCCGGGAAGAACCUUCCUUAGAAGAAAAGAUUGAUUUCUAUGUCAAAACCCUCGCUUCUGUUGUCGGCAGGUUUUUGAUUCUUUCAAAUUUGCGUUUUCUUUCCUGGAAUUUGAGAAAUGGGUUUUAUUUUUCUUUUUUGUUUGUAGUGAAGAGGAAGCGAAAAGGAGAAUAUACGCCGUUGGUGGUAGACUAACGGUGUAUACUGGGUUUCGUGCUGUUAUGUCUGAGGAGAUGGCUUAUGAACUUGAAGGUAAUUGCAUUUCUCAUUUAUUAGGGUUUACAUGUGUUCUCAUUUAUUAGGGUUCAGUGUUUGGAAUUGGCGUUAUGUUUGUAUAGGGUUUCCUCUUGUAAAAGGCAUUUAUCGGGAUUCACAGGACGAAUAUGAUGAAGAUUUUGAUGGAGGUGGGUAGUUUAAAGAAUUCAAGAUGAUGUUUGUUGCUUACUGCCAUUGUCAACAAAUUUAAUCUCCUUUUUCUUAUUAGGGCAUUUGCUUGUUGAUGGGAAAGUCGUUCUUAGACCAACCUCUUUUAGCAAGAAGAGGUGCCUGACGCGAUCAGUUCGUUUGGUGGUGAACCAAGUAUUAAACGAUAUUUAUAUUCGUAAAAUGGAUGAAACCGAAACCGAGGGCUAGGACCAGAUCUUUUCUGAUUUGGUGGAUUCAUAGAUCUCUUUAUUUUUUUUUAAUUUAUGUGUUCAAUAUUAGAAGAGUCAUAAUUAUUUGAAUUAUUAAUUCGUGUAAUCUCCAUUCCUAAUGAAUACUUGUUGUUAUUAUUUAAAAUAUAUACGUUUGGUUAUUUAUAAAUCUAUUCUAAUAUCUUUAAUCAUCAUCUCAUUGUAGUCUAAAUUAUUGGUAAUUUAUGUUUUAAUUUCUGAAUUAUUCCCGCCAACAUUGGGGAGGACGACAAAGUCUUCUACAGUAUCAAAAUCCCAUGGAUCCUUAUCACCCCAUACUUUUUAAUUUUUUUUUUCCAAAUGAAUGAUAGUAUAAAUAUAUUAUUGGAAGGAUAUUUAAAGCGAAAAGAUUAAAAUAUCUUCAAAUAAUAUUAUUUACUUUAAUUAUGGAAGGAUAUUUUCGUAAUAUUUUAACCGAAUUGAUAUUCAGUUAAUUCAUGACACUAAAUUAAUUAAAAAUUUAAAUAUAUAUAUACAGCACAUCUGAAUGAAUAUUAUUGGGUUAUGAAAUAACUAAUAUUUAAUUGUCAAAUAUUUAUUAAAUUCAUCUCUAUUUUAUGAAAACUUUAAAAAAUUAAUCCAUUUAUUGAUAAAUACACGGAUUCGAUUUUUGUGUAUUUAAAUAAAUUAACUAUUUUUGUCCGUAAAAAACUCAAUUUUUAGAUCUUUUAAUUCUAAUUUUUUCAGAACCCAUAUUUUACUCUAAUUUAAACCUUUUAGGAAUACAUUUAAAAAAAAUCAUUUUUGAGGAUAGAUUAUUCAACUUUGCUUAUAUUUGGAAUUAUAUAUGAAAUUAAUUGGGGAAAGCUCAAAAAAUAAAAGUUAAAAAAGGCAAUUCGUUAAAUUUAUUAAAUAAAUCACUUUUAUGAUUAAAAAGACUUGUUUAAUUCAUAUAUGUCCACAUAUCACACAGUAGUGUUGAAAGUCGUUUGGAAAUUAUUUAUUGUUGUUAUUAUAUACAAAAUAUAUAAUUUUGAUUUUGAUAAUAAUUAUUGAUUAUUAAUAAAUUUAUUUUAAUAUCUUUAAUGAUAAUUUUUAAUCAUCAUCUUUGGCUGCUGCAUAAACUAACUAAGAUAUUGAACCGAAUAGUUUAUGUCUGGCCUAGUAAUAGUUAAAUAAAGUAACUUUCAAUGGCUCUUUUAUAUGCAGCUGUAUCUUGAUUUAAUGGUUAAAUUAAUAAUUUUAGUAAUAAAAGGAUCUAAUUGGUAUAACAUCGAUAAUUAAAUAAUAUAAUUAAAAUAUUUUGAAGAUAAUUAGUACAAUUAACUAAAACAAAUAAUUUAAUACAGAAAUUAAACAAUAUAAUAAAAAAUUCGAGAUUCAUAAAUCAUAACCAAUUUGGAAGAAACAGAUUUGGUGGAUUCAUAAAUAUCAUUAUUGAUUUUUUAAUUUUUAAAAUAUAUUAUUUAUACAAUAUUAAAGAAGGGUUGAAGAAUAAUAAAAUUUAAAUUCGUGUUAUUAUAUGAAAUAUAUAAUUUUGAUUUUGAUAAUAAUUAAAUAAAUACAUCAUAAACCUUAAGUAAAUAAUUAUUAGACUACUAUAAAUAAUUAUCAGGCAUGUCAAAAUUUAGUAUUUUAGUAAAUAAUAAUUAGAUUAUUUAAAAAAUAAAUAUAUUUAUUAAAGAAAUUAAGGUUUAAAUUUUAAUUUUGUGGAUUUUUAUUGAGUUUAGAUAAAAAGAUAAAAACAUAUUUAAAAUAAUGUAAAUAUAAUUUAUUUUGUGAUUUUAAAAGAUAUGAUUAUCAUAUCACACAAUUUCUAUUUUUUUCUUUUUCUUUUUUUACCAAUAAAUCGGUGACACCGGUGUUAUUUUAUUACGGUCUCAGUCUACUAGUGUCGAAGAAACAAAGCUUAUUAUCAGAGAGAAGCAGCGUUGCCGGAAAAUGGCUUGCCUUAAUGCCCGACGAUCUCUAUCCACCCUUUUAAGCCGCGCCCUCACUGCUUCUUCUUCUUCUUCCUUUCCUUCCCGUUCUCGCCUCACUGUUGCACUCCUCAACAAAACCCCAGUUUUUAUCCCCGAAGCAACCAAAAUCCUGACCCGAACCAAGACAUCCGGGUCCGGCUACUCGCCUUUGAACGACCCAUCUCCUAACAGUAGUAGCCCACGACCAUCGGUUCUCCUAGAUGACAGUUCUUAUGAGCAUUGGCUUAUCAUUUUGGAAUUCCCAGAACACCCGAAACCUUUGGAAGAAGAAAUGAUCGAUGCCUAUGUUAAAACCCUCGCUUCUGUUGUCGGCAGGUUUUUAAAUAAUAAUUAUUCCUUCAAAUUUCAUUAAAUCUGGGUUUUAUUUUCUUUUUUGUUUGUCUGAUCUUGUAGUGAAGAGGAAGCGAAAAAGAGAAUAUACUCUAUUUGUACAACGAGGUAUACUGGUUUUCGUGCUUUUUUCUCUGAGGAUUUGAUUGAUGAACUUAGAGGUAAUAUCAUUCCUCAUUUACUAGGGUUUAGGGUUUACAUGGUUUUCCCUUUUUCUAGUGUAAUUGGAACAAGAACCGGGUUUCUUGAAACAGUGGGUUUUCAGAAAGAAGAAAGAAUUAACAUUGGUUUUCAUUGUGUGUGAUGUGUUGCUAGCUGUUUUAGGGUUUUAAACCUCCCGAUGUGAUUGCUUUCUAUACUAAUUUAUUAGGGUUUAAAUGGUUUUCCCCAAUUGCUUUUGUGAGUGUUUUUGAACUUACAAUUGAUGAGGCAUCCACUUUGUUCUAAAAUCAAUUGGCAUUAUGUUUCUAUAGAGUUACCUCGUGUACGCUGGGUUUUACCAGUUCGGCAUUGUAGCCAAGAUCAUUAUUAUGCAGGUGGGUAGUUUAAAGAUGAAGUUUGCUGCUUAUAGCCAUUUAAGUUCCCAUUGUCAACAAAUUUAAUCUCUUUUUUAUUGGUGGAUUGAUUACCAGAGGAUUUUUUUGUUGAUGGCAAAGUCCUUCAUAGACCGCAAUUUCCAUGGGUUGGCGUUCCAAAUAGCAGCCACAGAGUUGGAGGAUGUGGUGAUCAUGAGCUUUGGCUUAUCACUUUUGAAUUCCGGGAAGAACCUUCUUUUGAAGAAAAGAUUGAUUUCUAUGUUAAAACCCUCGCUUCUAUUGUCGGCAGGUUUUUGAUUCCUUCAAAUUUGCCUUUUUUUCUCCUGGAAUUUGAGAAAUGGGUUUUAUUUUUCUUUUUUGUUUGUAGUGAAGAGGAAGCAAAAAGAAGAAUAUACGCUGUAGGUAGUAGACUAACGAGGUAUACUGGGUUUCGUGCUGUUAUGUCUAAGGAGAUGGCUUAUGAACUUGAAGGUAAUUGCAUUUCUCAUUUAUUAGGGUUUACAUGGUUUCUCAUUUUUUAGGGUUUAGUGUUUAGAAUUGGCGUUAUGUUUGUCUAGGGUUACCUCUUGUAGAAGGCGUUUAUCGGGAUUCAGAGGUCGAAUAUGACGAAGAUUUUGAAGGAGGUGGGUAGUUUAAAGAAUUCAAGAUGAUGUUUGUUGCUUACUGCCAUUGUCAACAAAUUUAAUCUCCUUUUCUUAUUAGGGCAUUUGCUUGUUGAUGGAAAAAUCGUUCUUAGACCAACCUCUUGUAGCACGAAACGACUAGAGGGGGGGAAACUGCCGGGAUUAUUACAUUUCCUGCAAGACCAGAUCCUUGACGUUAUUUAUUGGGAAGAAUCCAAAAGCAACGGCGGUGGCAAAAACUGAUCUCGUGCAGGAUGACAUCUUUUCCGAUAUUUAUAUUCGUAAUUUGGUGGAUUCAUAGAUCUCAUUAUUUAUUUUUUAAUUUUAAAAAUAUUUUAUUUGUAUAAUGAUUGAUAAUUAUUUGAAUUAUUAACUCGUGUUAUUUAGCUCAACAGAAGCCAUAAUCACCAUUCCUAAUAAAUAUUAACUUUAUUUAUUGCUCUUAUUGUAUACAAAAUAUAUAAUUUUGAUUUUGAUAAUAAUUAUUGAUUAUUAAUAAAUUUAUUUUAAUAUCUUUAAUGAUAAUUUUUAAUCAUCAUCUUAUUGUAACCUAAGUUUUUUUUAAGGUGAUUUGAUGAUCGAGGCCGUGGAUUAAUACCCAUCAAUUAGUAGAGAAACAUAUUUUAGAGGCCAAGUCGAUUUGAUGGUUGUUAAAUAUUGGAUAAGAAAAUUAUUUAGAUUUUGAUCCAUAGAUUCAUAAUGUUUAAAGUUGUUUUAUGAAGAAAAAAGCUAUAAAAAAGAAAAUGAAUUAGAGCUUUUGAUUGUGCCAUUCGAGUAAAGGUUUUGAAUUUUUUGAUCCUUGUGUACAUGGAAGGGAAAUAAUUAUUCUUAAGAAAAUUUUCUGGAAACAAUUAUUCUAAAAAAAAUUUAAAAUCAUUAAAAUAAAAGUAAAAAUAAAAAUAUUUUUUAUUUUUAUUAUUAAGUUUAAAUUUUAAAAACAUUUUUCAUUGUUUAAAUUGAACAUAAAACAUUAAAAUCUGUUCAAACCCAAUAAAUUACUCGACUCAUGAGCAAAUCUAAUUUCAAUUACCUACGACAUAUACAUAUUUGCAUCUUCAAUUUCUAAUUGGAUUCAACCCCUACUUUAAGAUUUGUGUAUUAUUAAAAAAAAUAUUUUUUUUUGAAUUUGAAAAGAUAGUCAAAUCAUUCGGGAUAUAUUUUAUAUUUGAUUAAUCUGUCUAAUUUUAAUUAAAUAAAUUAUUAAAAAAUUUAAAAUGGUAUACAUUUCUAUUCAAUUAAUUUAACAAUCGGUACAAUUAAUUUAAAAAUUAAUUAAUUUUUGUCCUUUCUUUGAAUCAAUCGAUUUAACCGAUCAGAUUUAUCUGGUUUCAACAACCUGUAAAAAGGAGUAGAUUUUCUUUUCUUUCUUUCUUUCUUUUUUUUUUUUUGUGUGUGUGUAUGAACUGCUUUUUGGCGGUGAAGGAUAAAUCAGGGAAAGGUUCCUUCUUAUUCUUACAUGAAAGAACAAAGUUCUUCUUAACUUUGGUUUUUGUUGGUAUUGAUUAAAAAAAAGAGACAAAUAUUAGUGUUAUCUAAUCAUAAUUGAGUUGAGAAUUGAUUAUGGUAUUGGUUUUGAGAGAAGGGACGAAGGUAAGGGCUAGAAAUAAAUAAAAUUUUUUAUUUAUCUAACCCCUUGUUUUCGCACCCCUGAAUCGGUAUAGAUCAAUUAAACCAAGUUAAAAAUUAGUUAAACUAAAUUUUAUUUAUUUAUUAAUAAUUUACCUAAUUAGACAGAUCGACCGGAAUAAAAAUUGGUAGUCUGAUUAGCUCUAGGACUAACCAACUCCAUAAACAUUGAUUUUUACAUGAACAAAAAAGAGAUUGUUUGUGUGUUAGAUAGUUAAAUUCAACCAAUUAUAUUUGUUGAAUCAAGUUGGGUUUUUAAACUGUGUUGUUUAAAGGCUAUUGAACUUUUUAUCAUUCAAUUUAACAAAAUAAAACGAUAAUACAUAUUUAAGCACAUUCAAACUCACAUAUUAAAUAUUACAACAACAUCGACGUCAAUUAAACUAAGACUAUUUACUAUUUUUAAUUUUAUUUUUAAAAUUAAAGAAAAAAACAUUUUCCAUGAGUAAAAUAGUUUUUUUGCAAUAAAAUAUUUAAUUUUUCACUCAAAGUAAACAAAUAACUACAAAUUUGUUAGCAUUCUAUCAAUCAUGCUUGUGAUUACAAUCACUUUUUUCUCAUUCUUCUAUUUUGCUGACUGUUUAAGAUGCAAGGGGCGUUAUUUUCAUUAAAAUUGCAUUUUAAAUACACAAAAAUCUCAUUACAAAUAUUCAAAUUAUUGGUAUCAGUAUUGUUGUCAAUUCAGCAGGACGUGAGUUUGAGUGCGUUAAAGUGCAUUAUCCUCCUAUUUAAGAGUUAGGGAGAGACUAUGUGCCGUUUUAGACAUUAUAUAAAAAAACAUAUAUGAUAAAAACCUAUAACGAGAUUAAUGUUCAAACAAUAUAGAAAACAAGCUUACGUGGUACGGUUAUUUGAUUGACCAGUGGAUACCCUAUAUGGUAAGGGAUUCAUAAAAGUAUAAAAUUGAUAAGUUUUUUUUAAGCAAAUUGAUGAAUCUCUUAAAUUGGUAUUAAAAUAAAAAAGUUAAAUAUUUUUUUUUGAAAAUUUUGAAUUAAAUUAAUUACUAUACGUUGUAACUAUUAAUUGUGGUUUACUUUUUGAAGAAUGAAUUUUCAAAUUUUCAUAUAAAUUUCCUUAGCAAUUUCUAUAUCAAAAUAAAAUUAAUGGAUUCCAAAAUUUUGGGAUCAAUUUUCCGCGAGGAUGCUAAUGGAGUGUUAAUCAAAAUUUGAAGAAUGAAUUUUUAAAAUCAUGAGAGUUAGGUGAUAUGGUAAAAGUUUUUAUCACUUUAAUCAAUUGAGGGUUUGAUCAUUGUCCUGGGUCUAAAGCAAUUUUAAAACUUGUGACUAGCAUUUAUUUCCUUCAUGUACCUAUAGAAUGUGAAUGAUUAAUUAAUGUGCUCGUUCUAGUAAAUACCUUCAAUAGAAAUAAAUUUUAAAAUUAAAUAAUAUUUAAAAUUCAACUAAAUAUAAAAUGCCCUCACAUUUAUCUAAUAUAUUCAAAGGAAACUACUAUGCAGGUCAUCCAAAAAUUAUUUUGAUAAAUUUAGUCAGUCUAAUUAAAAUAAUUAUUUGAACUGGUCACCGUCAUUAAAAAUUUCGUUAUUCUACUAAUAAAUUAUGAUGUAACACAUUAACCAAUUGAAUAACUACACGUAGCACAUUUUUUGUUUAAAUAAGAAAAGAACAAUCUCACAUUAGCUAAGAAAAAGCUUUUAAGAGUUUAAAUAUAGCCUUACUUUUAUGUUUUUAUAGAGUAAUUGAGGCGAAGGUCCAACACACAUGUAAUAUUAUCUACUUGGCCUGUUUUUGUGAUAACAUGUAUUGCAUGUGUUUUGUUUUCAAUAUUUUUUUUUGUUUUAUUUAAACAUAAUUUUUUUUCAGAGAAUCUAAUCAGUCAACGAAAAAUAUGAUCCGUUUUCUUCAGUUGCACCAUUUGCGAAACCUUACUGUUUUUGCCCCUACUUUGAAAAAUCAUUCUUCUUUCCUCUGCUUAUUUGCUUGCUUUCCUUUAGUCAUUUUUCUGAUUGAGUGUCUAAUUCUUUUGAGAAGAGCAAUUUCAAUCGUUGUUCCACCUUCUUUAUUCGGAUGUAAAUAUAGAAGUAUUGUGUUAACCUUAGGGGACGAAGUCCAUUACUUAAUUACAUCGAUCAGUGCGAAUCUACUUCUAAGACAGUGAUUCUUCCAUGGCACAAUAAUUACUUUAUUUUUUAUUUACGAUCAAUUUAUUUUUCCCAGUCAGUGCUAACAAGUCUAUUUUGUAAUAGUAUUUUUCCAACAGAUGCAACAUAUCUUACCUUAUCAUUUUCAACCUUCAAAGUCUUUUGAUGCAUACAAUUGUGUAAUUUCUCGAUAUUUUUUAUUAUUUAGAAUUCUAACACAUCAUAUCCCUAAAAUCCUGGAUAGAAAGCAUAAAGCUAAACAAUGAGAUGGAUAUAUAUAGGAUGCAAGCACAAAUAGUAAAAAUAUUGACUUAAUUAGUUCUUUCAAAUUUAAAAUUAUGAUUAAAAAAAACUUGGACGUUCUCCCAAUAUGUCUCAGGUGUAACACCCCCUAACCCUAAACUGUCGCCGGAACAGGGUUAUGGAGUACUACCAGCCAUAUCGAACAAUUUACUAAUAAUUCACAAAUCAAUAACAUAAAUAGUAUAAUUUAAUUAUUAAGUUCCUAAAAUGAACCCUCGAGGUCCAAAACACGUAUUUCAAGUGAAACGAGACUAAUUCGAGUAUUCUGAAAAUUUUUCAUAAUUUUUUUUUGAACUCAAUAUAACCCCUUUAUAAACAUCUAACCUUCAAAUCAUUAUUAUUAUGCAGUUGGGUAGUUUAAAGAUGAAGUUUGCUGCUUACAGCCAUUGAAGUUCUCAUUGUCAACAAAUUUAAUUUUUUUUUUAUUGGUGGAUUGAUUGCCAGGGGAUCUAUUUGUUGAUGGGAAAGUCUUUCAUAGACCGCAAUUUCCAUGGGUUGGUGUUCCAAAUAGCAGCCACAGAGUUGGAGGAUGUGGUGAUCAUGAGCUUUGGCUUAUCACUUUCGAAUUCCGGGAAGAACCUUCCUUAGAAGAAAAGAUUGAUUUUUAUGUCAAAACCCUCGCUUCUGUUGUCGGCAGGUUUUUGAUUCCUUCAAAUUUGCGUUUUCUUUCCUGGAAUUUGAGAAAUGGGUUUUAUUUUUCUUUUUUGUUUGUAGUGAAGAGGAAGCGAAAAGGAGAAUAUAUGCCGUAGGUGGUAGACUAACGAGGUAUACUGGGUUUCGUGCUGUUAUGUCUGAGGAGAUGGCUUAUGAACUUGAAGGUAAUUGCAUUUCUCAUUUAUUAGGGUUUACAUGGUGUUCUCAUUUAUUAGGGUUCAGUGUUUGGAAUUGGCGUUAUGUUUGUAUAGGGUUUCCUCUUGUAAAAGGCAUUUAUCGGGAUUCACAGGAUGAAUAUGACGAAGAUUUUGAUGGAGGUGGGUAGUUUAAAGAAUUCAAGAUGAUGUUUGUUGCUUACUGCCAUUGUCAACAAAUUUAAUCUCCCUGUUCUUAUUAGGGCAUUUGCUUGUUGAUGGGAAAGUCGUUCUUAGACCAACCUUUUCUAGCAAGAAGAUCUGGUGCCUGACGCGAUUAGUUCCUUUGGUGGUGGACCAAGUAUUAAACGAUAUUUAUAUUCGUAAAAUGGAUGAAACCGGAACCGAGGGCUAGGAACAGAUCUUUUCUGAUUUGGUGGAUUCAUAGAUCUCUUUAUUUAUUUAUUUUUUAAUUUAUGUGUUCAAUAUUAGAAGAGUCAUAAUUAUUUGAAUUAUUAAUUCGUGUAAUCUCCAUUCCUAAUGAAUACUUACUUUAUUUAUUGUUGUUAUUAUUUAAAAUAUAUAAUUUUGAUUAUUUAUAAAUUUACUCUAAUAUCUUUAAUCAUCAUCUCAUUGUAGUCUAAAUUAUUGGUAAUUAUUCCCGCCGGACCAGUGAACAGGCCUUACUACUAGAAUAAGCAACCCGUUGUCCUUAACAUUAAUUUCCGCAGAGGUGCACAAAAUUUUGGAGAUUAUUUUUGUACCACUGAUAGCAUGCUUAACUAAUAGCAAUAAUUUAUUCAGCUGCGGCUUCAACAUGCACUUCCAUAUACAUAGAUCAAGUUAUAGGUUUUUAGUUAUCUCACGCAAUCGAUGUUCAAAGCUAAAUGAGAACACAGCAAAGAUGCUUUCAUGGAAUUAGCAUAAUUGAUCCAGUUGUUCUGCGAUUCUCGAGGUCUGCAUUUGCCCGUGCUGCUUUUGACAAAGGGUACUUGUGAAUUAAUUUUUGAAAUGUUACUGAAUUAAUAUUUAUCGACUAUACAAAGAGGACGGAGGCCUUAUGAAGUUAUGGUUGAUUCUUCAAAGGGUUAACUCUAAAAGAGGGUCCACAUGCAAGUGGACUGCAGGAGCAGCCCGACAGAUUCCGGAUUGGUUGUUCGAAGAAAAACCCUCGAAACUCCAAUUCUGUGCUUGAGAGUAACUGAUGAAAUGAGAACCCUGGGUUCAUCUGUUAGUUCAUUCUUUGGUGUGAAUAGAAGAGAUAUCAUUCUUUUAAAAAAACCAGAUCCCCUAUAUGUUGAUAAGUCAAAUUAAAAAGGGGUUGAAAAGUCAAAAAUGGGAGGUGCAAGUGGCACCGAAAGAAAAAAAAAGUGACAGGCAAGUUGUUUAAAGUUGAAUGGGAUAAUUGUAAUUUUGGUCCCUAAUUUUUUAGGCCAUUUGCAAGUUAGUCCCUGAACCUCAACUAUAAAUAGGCCUAACCAUUUCUCAUUUCAACCAUCCCAACCAAUCUUUCUCUCUUAGUUUUCUCUCUUCUCCCAUUUGAGAAUUCUUAAGGAAUUCUAUUUGUUUGUAAUACUUUGGAGAUAGUAAAGUUAUCAUCUGGUGUUAGUGCCCGAGGACGUAGGUAUAAUUUACCGAACCUCGUUAAAUCUCUUGUGUUCUUUCUUGUCCUAUUUUUCUUUCAAUAUUUGAGGGUAUAAUAGUAGUAUUUAAUUGUGCUAUUAAAUUACUAUAGAAGGGAUAUUCUGUCUAAGGAAAGACUUGGUAUUUAAGAGAUCCAUGUGAUCCACCUCUCUUCCCUGGGAAUUAAACUUUGUGUGAUUUUUUAGUACAAUAAUUUACACGCUUCCAACCCUAUUGGAACAACAAGUGGUAUCAAGAGCCGAAGGUUAAUCGUAGUAUGCUCUGUGGUUGCAGUUUAAACUGAUCUUCCACAUCAGAAAAGAUUUCCUUAGGUAUAUUGAAAGAUUAUGGAGAAAACGGUCGGUGUAGGAGCUUCAACAUCGUCCAUGUGGACAAGACCGACAAUUGCAAAUGCAAGAUUGGCCGUGAAGAUCUUUGAUGGCACGGGCCAUUUUGGUAUGUGGCAAAGUGAGGUUCUAGAUGCCCUUUUUCAGCAGGGUCUAGACAUUGCCAUUGAUGAAGAGAAACCAGAUGAUGUACAGGAGAAAGAUUGGAAGGCGAUCAAUCGGUUGGCAUGUGGCACAAUUCGAUCAUGCCUUUCUCGAGAGCAGAGGUAUGCUUUUUCAAAGGAGACUUCUGCAAAUAAGUUGUGGGUGGCACUUGAAGAAAAAUUUUUGAAGAAAAACAGUCAAAAUAAGCUCCACUUGAAGAAAAGACUGUUUCGCUUCACAUACGUCCCAAGUACCACAAUGAAUGAUCAUAUCACCAAAUUUAAUCAGUUAUUCACUGAUUUGCUGAAUAUGGAUGAGACAUUCAAAGAUGAAGAUUUGGCUUUGAUGCUGUUGGGGUCACUUCCUGAGGAGUUUGAGUUCCUAGAAACUACUCUACUUCAUGGCAGGAGUGAUAUAUCUCUGAGCGAAGUCUGUGCGGCCUUAUACAGUUAUGAACAGAGAAAGAAUGACAAACAGAAAAACUCAAUCAGAGAUACAGAAGCUUUAAUAGUCCGAGGUCGUUCAUACACUCGGAAGAAAACUCAAAAGGGGAGAUCAAAGUCAAAGUCCAGACUCGGGAAAGAUGAAUGUGCUUUUUGUCAUGAGAAAGGCCACUGGAAGAAAAAUUGUCCAAAGCUGAAGAAUAAGGGAAAAGCUGCUGUAGAUGCUUGUGUUGCAAAGCAUGAUACUAGUGACUUUGAACUAUCACUAGUUGCAUCAUCAUCGUCGUUCCAUUCAGAUGAGUGGAUAUUGGAUUCGGGUUGUACCUUUCAUAUGUCCCCUAACCGGGAGUGGUUCUCUGAUUUAGUAGAACUAAAUGGAGGAGUUGUUUAUAUGGGCAAUGACAAUGCCUGUAAAACUGUUGGGAUAGGUUCAAUCCAAUUAAAGAAUCAAGAUGGAUCAACCAGAGUUCUGACUGAUGUUCGGUACGUGCCCAGUUUGAAGAAAAAUCUCAUCUCAUUGGGAGCCUUGGAAUCCAAUGGUUCAGUUGUUACUAUGAGAGAUGGGAUUUUGAAAGUGACAUCUGGCGCACUUGUGAUAUUGAAGGGCAUCAGGAAAAAUAACUUGUAUUACUACCAAGGUAGUACAGUUAUUGGAGCAGUCGCUACAGCUUCCGGUAACAAAGAAUUAGACUCAAUGCAGUUGUGGCAUAUGAAGUUGGGACAUGCCAGCGAAAAAUCCUUGCAAAUUCUGGCAAAGCAAGGAUUGUUGAAAGGUGCAAAGGCUUACAAAUUAAAAUUUUGUGAGCAUUGUGUUCUGGGAAAGCAAAAGAGAGUGAAAUUCGGUACUGCUAUCCAUAAUACAAAAGGUAUUUUGGAAUAUGUUCACUCAGAUGUGUGGGGGCCUUCCAAGACACCUUCAUUGGGAGGAAAACACUACUUUGUUACUUUUGUUGAUGACUUUUCCAGAAGAGUUUGGGUGUAUACCAUGAGAACUAAGGAUGAAGUGCUUAGAGUUUUUCUUAAAUGGAAAACUAUGAUCGAAAACCAGACUGGCAAGAAAAUCAAGCGACUUAGGACGGACAAUGGAGGGGAAUAUAAAAGUGAUCCGUUCUUCGAUGUGUGCCAAGAGUAUGGUAUUGUUCGACACUUCACAGUUAGGGAUACACCACAGCAGAAUGGAUUGGCAGAGCGUAUGAAUCGAACAUUGCUUGAGAAAGUUCGAUGUAUGUUGUCCAAUGCUGGGUUGGGCAAGCAAUUUUGGGCUGAGGCUGUGACAUACGCUGGCCAUCUUAUUAAUCGUUUGCCAUCAUCUGCAUUAGAAAUAAAAAUUCCUAUGGAGGUAUGGUCUGGAAAACCGGCUACAGAUUAUGAUUCCUUACAUGUGUUUGGAACCACUGCAUAUUACCAUGUGAAGGAGUCAAAGCUAGAUCCGAGGGCAAAGAAAGCUCUCUUUAUGGGAAUCACUUCUGGAGUGAAGGGAUUUCGUCUUUGGUGUUUAAGCACAAAGAAAAUGAUCUGUAGCAGAGAUGUUACCUUUGAUGAAUCUGCCACAUUGAAAAAGGUAGCAGAUAAAGAUAUUCAGACGAGCAAUACUCCACAGCAGGUGGAGUGUACUCCAAAACAGGUGGAGUUUGAGCAGAUGGGGAUUUGCCCAGUUAAUAAGUCUAAUUCUCCAGCCACAAUGGAGGAAUUAGAGGUUGAAGAGGUUCUGACCCAAGAACCACUAAGUACACCAGAACCAGUUGCAGUUGCAAGGCCACGGAGAGAAAUUCGUAAACCUGCUCGAUUUUCUGAUAUGGUGGCCUACGUCCUUCCCGUUGUUGAUGAUAUUCCUAUCACUUAUCAAGAAGCAAUGCAAAGCUUAGAAAGUGAUAAAUGGAAAAGCGCCAUGGAUGAAGAAAUGCAGUCUCUCCGGAAGAACAAUACUUGGGAGUUGGUGCAAUUACCGAAAGGUAAAAGGGCAAUCGGAUGCAAGUGGGUAUUCUCAAAGAAAGAUGGAUCUCCUAGCAAGAAGGAUAUUCGCUACAAGGCAAGAUUGGUAGCUAAAGGUUACGCUCAGAAGGAGGGAAUUGACUACAAUGAUGUAUUUUCCCCUGUUGUGAAGCAUUCCUCCAUUAGAAUUUUGUUGGCCUUGGUAGCACAGUUGAAUUUGGAGCUAGCUCAACUUGAUGUUAAGACGGCUUUCUUGCAUGGUGAGUUAGAAGAGGAGAUCUAUAUGACUCAGCCCGAAGGAUACACAGAUGCUGGUGGUAGAAAUUGGGUUUGUAAGCUUAACAAAUCGCUAUAUGGAUUGAAGCAAUCCCUGAGGCAGUGGUACAAGCGAUUUGAUAGCUUUAUGAGAAGGCAGAAGUACACAAGAAGCAAAUAUGACAAUUGUGUAUAUUUGCAGAAGCUGCAUGACGGAUCUUUCAUUUAUCUACUCUUGUAUGUUGAUGAUAUGUUAAUCGCUUCAAAGAGCCAAAAUGAGAUAGAUAAGCUGAAGGCUCAGUUGAAUCAAGAGUUCGAGAUGAAAGAUCUAGGUGAGGCCAAGAAGAUUCUCGGCAUGGAGAUAAGUAGAGAUAGACUGAGAGGCAAGCUCUGUUUAAAUCAGAAGCAAUAUCUGAAAAAGGUAUUACAAUGUUUUGGUGUAAAUGAAAACACAAAACAUGUAAGUACCCCACUUGCUUCUCAUUUGAAACUUAGUGCUCAAUUAUCUCCGAAGACUGAAGAUGAAAGAGAAUAUAUGGCGAAAGUCCCAUAUGCUAAUGCAGUUGGGAGUUUGAUGUAUGCGAUGGUGUGUACGAGGCCUGCCAUUUCACAAGCUGUUGGAGUUGUGAGCAGGUAUAUGCAUGAUCCUGGAAAAGGACAUUGGCAAGCUGUGAAAUGGAUUCUACGGUAUCUUCGAAAAAUCGUAGAUGUUGGUUUAAUUUUUGAACAGGAUGAAGCACUUGGUCAGUUUGUAGUUGGAUAUGUUGAUUCCGACUUUGCUGGUGAUUUAGAUAAACGUCGUUCAACUACGGGGUAUCUGUUUACUCUUGCGAAAGCCCCAGUGAGUUGGAAGUCUACCUUACAGUCUACAGUAGCUGUGUCUACUACAGAGGCAGAAUAUAUGGCAGUUACAGAAGCUGUUAAGGAGGCUAUUUGGCUUAAUGGAUUAUUGAAAGACUUGGGAGUUGUUCAAAGUCACAUUAGUCUAUAUUGUGACAGUCAGAGUGCUAUUCAUUUAGCGAAAAAUCAAGUCUAUCAUUCAAGAACCAAGCAUAUCGACGUAAGAUAUCACUUUGUGCGGGAAGUCUUUGAAAAAGGAAAAAUUCUACUUCAGAAGAUUCCGACAGCAGAUAAUCCCGCAGAUAUGAUGACCAAGGUGGUAACAACAAUCAAGUUUAAUCAUUGUUUGAACUUGAUUAACAUCCUGAGGAUUUGAGCACCUUUAGGUGUAUGGCGCUCGAGAGCGUAUUUGGAGGCACUACAAAAGAUAUCUUUAUCGAAUUUGGGGAGUUGAAGGAAGUGUGUGAAGAUGUGAUUAUCCUAAUCAAAUCUUCAAUGUGGAGAUUGUUGAUAAGUCAAAUUAAAAAGGGGUUGAAAAGUCAAAAAUGGGAGGUGCAAGUGGCACCGAAAGAAAAAAAAAAGUGAUAGGCAAGUUGUUUAAAGUUGAAUGGGAUAAUUGCAAUUUUGGUCCCUAAUUUUUUAGGCCAUUUGCAAGUUAGUCCCUGAACCUCAACUAUAAAUAGGCCUAACCAUUUCUCAUUUCAACCAUCCCAACCAAUCUUUCUCUCUUAGUUUUCUCUCUUCUCCCAUUUGAGAAUUCUUAAGGAAUUCUAUUUGUUUGUAAUACUUUGGAGAUAGUAAAGUUAUCAUCUGGUGUUAGUGCCCGAGGACGUAGGUAUAAUUUACCGAACCUCGUUAAAUCUCUUGUGUUCUUUCUUGUCCUAUUUUUCUUUCAAUAUUUGAGGGUAUAAUAGUAGUAUUUAAUUGUGCUAUUAAAUUACUAUAGAAGGGAUAUUCUGUCUAAGGAAAGACUUGGUAUUUAAGAGAUCCAUGUGAUCCACCUCUCUUCCCUGGGAAUUGAACUUUGUGUGAUUUUUUAGUACAAUAAUUUACACGCUUCCGACCCUAUUGGAACAACACUAUACACAUUUUAAAAAAAAUAUCAUCUUUUACCAUACUCUUGUACAAAAUUGGCUUAACUAUAUGAAUACAAUUGGUCAGGCAUUGAAAUGCAACAUUAUGGUACAUGUAAAAGGAACUCAUAAAGAGAACUUUGGGUUGCUUUUCGAUAUGCUAUAUAAAUUAUGUACAGUGUGAGAGCUUACGAUAGCCUUUGCAAAGGAACAUUGUGAUAUGUCUAUAACGGAUAAAGGAGCAGCAACAAAAGCUCCACCAUCAGUUCAAAUGGUUGUGGAAGCAUUAGUCGGAGAUUUAGAAUGGUGAGACACGAAUGAUUCUACAAAUGGAUUCACAAGAUGUGGAGCUUCAUCCUGCAUGCACAUUAGUAAUACAGCAAUGAACUAUCAUAUUUGUUAACAGAAAAACCUGUCGAACCAUAGUUUCAUGAGAGAGCAAACCUGAGGGCAGUGGCCAACAUUGGGGAGGACAACAAAGUCUUCUACAGUAUCGAAAUCCACGUAGGCUCUUCUGAGUUCGAUGCUUUCCCAUGAUCCUUGUCACCCCAUGCUAUCAAGGUGUAGGCGAUGAGAACAGAAAAGACCAUACUACAAUAAUUUCAACAACUCAAUGACUUAAAAAAAAACCUUUCGAAUAAUUAAAUAAUAUUUUGUAACUUUUUAAAGUUUAUGUUUCAUUCACUAGGAUGGUAAGUUCCAAGGUAUAUAUGUAGCACUUUUAAGCACUAGCAAUGUUAUUUACGAAUGACAUUAUUGUUAUGUCCAACUCCCGAAGCGGACCAAUAAAAAUUGCUUCCAACUAUGGCUGUAAAUGCAUGUGUUUUCCAUUUAUUACCUGAACAAUGAGCUAGAAUUUGUUUAGUAUCUCUUGAUUCUGGUGGUUUUAACAUAACUUUUCUUGAGGAUUCAGUUUAUGUUUUGAAAGGGGAAAAAAAAAGAAAAGAAAAAAGAUCACAUUGUGUAGAGUUUGGACAUGCUCCCUGUUUUUGUUGAAUUUUAAUUUGUUGCUGUACUUGCAGGUUAUGGUUAAAAAUCUGGAACAAGUGGUUUCUAUGGUUUUGAACUCCUUUAACCAUUCUGAUCACCCCCGUGUGAGGUGGGCAGCUAUUAAUGCAAUCGGGCAAUUGUCUACCGACUUGGGUCCUGAUUUGCAGAACCAAUAUCACCAAAGAGUAUUGCCUGCCUUAGCAGCUGCUAUGGAUGACUUCCAAAAUCCUAGAGUACAGGUUAGUUACAACUAUAUAAAAUUUGCCUCAGGGCUAUAGAUUAUGCUUUUAACCGUUGCUAACUAUUAUUCCUCUGCCCUUUACAUAGAGAUGAUGUGUCUACCUGAUCUUUCUGUGUUUGCAUGGUAUAAUUGAUACCUCUCUCCCCCCACCCAUAAACAUCAUUAAUUAUCCAGCUUGUUUCUGUAAUUUCCACCUACUAAAGUUGUCAAUGCAUGCACAUGGUGUCUCUAUGGUGCAUCGCUUGCUUUAGUUAAAGCUUAAUUAAGUGGAUAUAUCUUCUUAUUUGUUUAUAUAAUUUACUUUAGUCAUCAAUAAAAACUCGCAAAAUUUCCAGUUUGGAACAUUUCAACUUGUUACUAGCAGAUUAUUUUCAUCACUCUUUAGAAUUCAUUUAUGGUCAUUAUGCCAAAUUUCUAAAUGAUCAAAAGAUAUGUUAUGUUAUCAAAUAAUGGCCACAAAGUUGUUAGAUUUCGUUGUACAAUUCUCUAUCUUGCUUCUUCUCGAAAGACAAAAGGGAACUUCUAUUUUUGCUAGCAUUUAUACAGAUUAAUUUCUAAAAUGGUGGAUGCAUUUGCAAGAGCCUGAGAAUGGAUUGUGAAGGGAAUUAAUUGAUUGGAGAGUGGAUGUUGCAUCAUGAUUUCCUGAAUAUUUUAUGAAUCUUCUUUUUUUUUUUGGGGGGGGGGGGGAGGAAUCCUUGUUUAUGUGUUCAUGUGGAUAUUGAGUUGAUGAAUGAUGCUUAGUUACCUUUUAUUGAGGAAACUGAAAUAACCUAGCUUGUGCUCCUUUUUGUAUGAACGUUUAACAGUCUUAUUAUGUUGUAAAGAGUUUUUUCCCUACCUUGUUUCAUGCCGGUUAGGUACUUGCAUGUUCAAGAUUUUCCUGUUUAUUUUGUAUAACAGUUAAUUUUGCUAUAUAUAAUUGUCUUAACAGGCCCAUGCUGCUUCAGCUGUGCUCAACUUCAGUGAGAAUUGCACUCCAGAAAUUUUAACACCUUACUUAGAUGGAAUAGUUAGCAAAUUGCUUGUACUUUUACAGGUAUGAGUUAUGACAGUUGGAGCUAUAAAUAUCACAUCAAGCAUGCAUGAAUUAAUUUUAUUAAAGGAUUUUUUUUUAACAUAAGAUAUAACAUGCAGAAUGGGAAACAAAUGGUGCAAGAAGGGGCCUUGACUGCAUUGGCAUCAGUUGCUGACUCAUCUCAGGUAUAGAUUUUACCCUAAAGAAAGCUAUAUUGAUCAUGGAUUUAUAUAUUUUUUUCGAGAUGACUCAGUUUGACGAUAUGGGGGUUUGCAGGAGCCCUUCCAAAAAUACUAUGAUGCAGUUAUGCCUUAUCUGAAAGCUCUCUUGGUGAAUGCAACUGACAAAUCUAAUCGUAUGCUUCGUGCCAAAUCCAUGGAGUGUAUUAGUAUUGUUGGAAUGGCUGUUGGAAAGGAGAAGUUCAGAGAUGAUGCUAAGCAGGUUGGUACAAGUGUAAAAGCACCAUUCCUGCGUUAAUUUGUUUUCUUUUCCUCUUCUAGUUAUUUUCUUAUAUCUCAGACAGAAGCUGCGUUGCCGGAAAAUGGCUUGCCUCAAUGCCGGACAUUCUCUAUCCACCCUUUUAAGCCGCGCCCUCACUGCUUCUUCUUCCUUCCCUUCCCGUUCUCGCCUCACUGUUGCUCUACUGAACAAAACCCUAGUUUUUAACCCCGAAGCAACCAAAAUCCUGAGAUUGUUGCUUGAUAUUGAGGAUGAUGCAGCGUGGCACACUGCAGAAGUCGAGGAUGAAGAUGCUGGAGCUGUUUGUACAGAUUUACCCAAACUAGACCAACCAACAGUAGGGGCGUCCAAGGAACAAAGGACACAGCUCCAGUGCAAUUAAUGAUACAGGCGGCCAAGAAUCAUUUUAACUUUUCUUUUCUUUUCUUUUUUUACUCACUAUCCAGGCCAUCUCAAAAUUUUUGGGUUAAUUGCUCUUUUGGUCCUAAUACUUACAUAGAGUUUGAGUUGAAACUUAUCAAUUUAAAAUUUUUAAUUUGUCAGUAGUUUCUAUUAAAACUUAUCAAUUUUUAAUUUUGAGUUACAUUUUUUAUUUUUUUAAAAUUUAAAACUUCAUAAAAAUUAUAAAAAUAUUUUUAAAAAUUAUAAAAUAUUAAAAAAUAUUUUUUAAUAUACCAUAUUAACAAAGUUAACAAAUAUUAAUUUUUUCAUUCAUUUUAAAGUAAAUUGAUUAAAAUACAAAUUUAAAGACUAAAAAACAAAAAAAUAAAAUAAAGUACUAAAUGUUUUAUUUUUAUUUUCAUCCCUCAUUUCUCUCAGCCACCCCCCUCUCUCUCUCUCUCUCUCUCUCUGUGACACAGCAGCCAAGCAAACCAGAAUAAACGCAUAAAAAGGGAGAGAGGAAUCAAUUAACCAUCCUCUUCUUCAUUUUGCUCACAGUGAGCAUAGAUUGAACGAAAUGAAAAAAAAUGAUAAUGAACAAAAUACAGAGAAUAGUCUUAAUAUCAUUAGCUUUGGUGAACCUGUACAUACAUUUCACAUAAUAAUAAAAGUUCUAUGUCUUCUUUUACGAUUCUGCAACAUAGAGAUUGCAUUACAUAAACAAAAACAAACUUCAUAUCUGGUGGAGCCGAGACAGCAACGAAGAUAGCAAAGACAUUAUAGUAAAGAUAGUAAGGUAAAAAAAGUAUCUGGUUUAGGUUAUUUAGCCUCGUCUUCCUCGUCAAACCCAGAAUAGUUAACGUGGAGCCUCCCAGUCCCACUCUUUAUGUAGUGUGCUCGCAAAGCCCUCAUCCGUUGUACUUCUGGUUCCUCCUUGCCAUCUUUGGAAGUAGUGUUAGAGUGGAGCGGCUUCUUUAUGGAGUUGGCAAAGAGAGCAAAUACUAUGUUGGUCGUUCUCCGCUCGGACCACCACAAAAGUUCCUUAAUGACCAUACGGUAGGUGGUCACAUCGUUUCUUAAUUUCAACCGUGUGAGAUAUCUCACAGCUACAGGAAAAUUUCCUGAUUGACAUAACGCUUCAAGCAACAUAUGUGAACCUGCAGGACUACGAAACAUACCUGAGCUUAUCAUAAUCCCAACCACUGCUAAAGUAUUUCUUUUGCCUUCAACAAAUGGUGGGUCAAGCAUAUCUACAGGUGGUGGUGGGUCAUUCUUUAAAAUAAAAGAGCACAUUUUAAAAACAUGACGUCUGCGUAGAAUGCUCAUGGUGAAAGAAUAAAGAAGAGGGAGUAGAAAAUGAACAAGAGAAGCAAGAAUGCAGAAGAGGGUUUGGCUCUGCAAAAUGGGGAAGUUGUUCUUAAAAAAACUGAAAGCAGCUAGGAUCCGAGGAUCCGAGACCCGAUACGGGGCGCUAGGAUCCGCUCUCUAGCGCUUGGGUUAUUUUCCCGGUCGGUCCUUAAGAUUUUUUUACUUUUUCAAUUUAAUCCUGUUCAUUUUUUUGCUUUUUAAUUUUUUCCCUGUGAUUUUCGCAUUGUUUCAUUUAGUCCACAUUGGAACUGUGCGUUUUGGAAGAGAGGGAAUAUUUUCCAUUUUGAUCCCUCUAUUUUAUUCGAGCAUUACGAUUAAGUCCUUCACCUUAUUUUAAUUCCCAAUUCCUCCCCAAAAUUUUGUUUGGCUUUCAAUUUCAGUCCUUAUUAUAUUUUUUAUUUUUUUAAAAUACUUUUGCAUUUUUAUACUUUAUAUUUUUAUUAUUUAAAUUUCUACUUUUAAGUUCAAUUAAUCUAUUUUAUUUCAACCUUUCCACAAACUUUUUAUUUUAUUUAUUUAUUUAUUUAUUUAUCAUUAUUUCGUCUUCCUUUUACAUUAAAAAAAAUAGAUUAUUGGUACUCUUUUUUUAAUUGUGCGUUUUUAGUAUUGUUGUUAUUAGUUUAAUUCUAAAGUUUUUGUUGUUGUUGUUGUUUUAUUAUUUCUAAUAUCUUCAGGUUAUGUUUAUUUAUCUUUUUUAAAUUGUGCAUUUUCCAUUUCCAUUUUAAUUUUAAGUUACUUUAUUUAUUUUAAUAUUGCAAUCUGAUUAUUAAUAUUAUUACCAUUUUUGUAAUCAAUUCAUGUCACAUUAAUUUUCUAAGACAGAAAUUAAAUAAUAUAAUAAAAAAUUUGAGAUUCAUAAAUAAUAACAAAUUUGGAAGAAACAUAUUUGGUGGAUUCAUAAAUCUCAUUAUUGAUUUUUUUUAAUUUUAAAAAUAUGUUAUUUAUACAAUAUUAAAGAAGGGUUGAAGAAUAAUAAAAUUUGAAUUCAUGUUAUUACAUGAAAUAUAAAAUUUUGAUUUUGAUAAUAAUCAAAUAGAUACAUCAUAAACCUAAAGUAAAUAAUUAUUAGACUACCAUAAAUAAUUAUCAGGGCCGUUCACGCAUGUCAAAUUUUAGUACUUUAAUAAAUUAUAAUUAUAUUAUUUAAGAAAUAAAUAUAUUUAUUAAAGGAACUAUGUAAAAUGAUAAAGUUAAAGGUUUAAAUUUUAAUUUUGUGGAUUUUUAUUGAGUUUAGAUAAAAAAGAUAAAAACAUAUUUAAAAUAAUGUAAAUAUAAUUUAUUUUGUGAUAUCACAAGAUAUGAUAUCACACAAUUUCUGUCUUUUUUAACAAUAAAUCACAAAGCUUAUUAUCAGACAGAAGCAGCGUUGCCGGAAAAUGGCUUGCCUCAAUGCCCGACGAUCUCUAUCCACCCUUUUAAGCCGCGCCCUCACUGCUUCUUCUUCCUUUCCUUCCCCUUCUCGCCUCACUGUUGCUCUCCUCAACAAAACCCCAGUUUUUAUCCCCGAAGCAACCAAAAUCCUGAUCCGAACCAAGACAUCCGGGUCCGGCUACAUCGCCUUUGAACAAUUUUCAUACGAUAUUUCAAUCAUAAUUUGGACCAUGAAAUAAUAUUAAAAUAAUUUUUCUUCCAGACUCGGAUUUGUGGUCCCGAAACCAUUGUUCCGAUUUUACUGAAAAUGGGCUGUUACAAUUGUGAGAUGUGUGGAUAUAAGUGCAAGUAUAGUGAGAUAUGUUGCAAAGGGCAAUGCGUUUAUUGAACUUGCAUUUAUUGUCAAAUCACUUAAAAAUGGAUUGAAAAUUUAACAUUGUUAACUUUGAAAACAUGGCAUACACGUAGAUGACAUGCCAUCAUUUAAUUAAUUUUUUUAAAUUUUAAAAAAUAUUUUUAUAUUUUUAAUAAUUUUAAUUUUUUUAAAAAGAUUUUUAUAAUUUUUUAUUUUUAAAAAAGUUAAUUAAAUGUUGACGUGUUAUCGUGUUAUCCACGUGGAAAUUCACGUCUAUGACACGUCAGCAAAGUAAAAAAACGUUUAAAUUUUUUCUCCAUUUUGGGGUGAUUUAACAGAAAAUACGAAUUUAAUGGCUAACAGAGGUGAAAAAUUUUAAAGAAUAAAAUAAAUUUUUUUAAAGUUAGAGGACCAAAAAAGUCAUUGUGCAUUAAAAUUAAUAUAUUUGUUUGUUUUUUUUUAAGCAAAAAUGAAAUAGAAUAUAACACACGCAUGCUUAAAUGUGUUUAAACACAUGAUGAUGAAGUUGUUGCAACAACAACAAUAACAAUAUAAACCUAGUAAAUCAACCACAGUGGGAUAAGUUUAGGGGUGAUAUCAGUUUAGUUCGAUUGGGUUUUUUAGAUUUUUUUUAACCAUUGAUCAUAAUUUGGUUUGAUUCUCAUUUUUUUCUUAUUAAUUUUUUAUUUUGAUUUGUAGACUUUUUUUAUAAAAUGAGUUUUGUUUUAUGGCUUUUGAAUAUUAUUUGACAAAAUUUCAAGUUUUUUUUCAUAAAUAUUUCUAAAAAUAAUUUUUUUUAAAAACUGUUAAAUUAUUUUCAUUAUUUUAAAUAUAAAAUAUUUUUUACAAUAAAAAAUUAAAAUUAAUUAUAUAUUAAAUAAAAUAUAGAAUUCGAUUUGAAUUCAAAUAACUACAAUUUUUAAACUUACAUUUCAUAAAUCAUCCAAAUUCCUCGAUUCGAGUUAAUUUUCGAAUUUUUUUCAGCCAUACAUAAGCUUAGUUAAGAUAACCUAAUUUUAUUCGAAUUCAUAACUUUUUCAUACUAAUUUUGAGUUUUGAAUUUUUGAACUUAUUUAGAUAAAAUAAUUUUAUGAUUUUUAGACAUUAUUUGAUAAAUAUUCAAAAGCUAUAUAUAAAUAUUUCAAGAAAACAAUUAAAUUUUAAAUUAAAUAAAAAUAAUCAAUAGUUCUUAUGUACUAUAUUUAAAAAUAAUUUUUUAUAUAAAAUUUUGAGUUAUUUUUACUAAAUAUUUUGCCCCAAUACCAAAAUGUUCCUCAACACUAGAGGUGUCCAUGGGCCAAGCCGGGCCCAGGAAAAAUUUUCGGCCCACCUCCUAGGCCCGGGCCUGGCCCGAAAUAUGGGCCUAAAAUUUUGCCCAAGCUCGGCCCGGGAAAAAUCAUAAGCCCGAGCUCGGCUUGGCCGGGCCCAUUUUUUAAUAAACACUAAAAAAUUAUUUUAAAAAUAAAAAAUUAAAAAAUAUUUUUAAAAUAUUUUAAAAUUAAGAAUUAAAAAUAUAUAUUUAUUAUAUUCAGGUCGGGCCCGGGCCAAAAAAUGGUGCCCGAGGCCCAACUCGUUUUCUAAACGGGCCUCGUUUUUUGCCCAAGCCCAUAUUUCGGGCCUAUAUUUUUAUCCGAACCCUCCCAUAUUUCGGGCAGGCCGUCGGCCUGGACCGGGCCGCGCAGCCCAUGGACACCUUUACUCAACACCCCAGGAAAGGAGCCCACACUGCUACAAAUGCAUAAUGGGCAAAGCCAUAACACCAUUCUCAUAAUUCCACCAAUCAUAAUUAAGGGUGAGCUUUUGAUCGAAUAGAGUCAAAUUGAAUAAAAAAAUUCAAGUUAAUCAGAUUGGCAAGUUUCAUUUUAUCGUCGUAAUUGGAUUUGAAAUUUUUUCAGAUCGAGUUGAAUUAAUUGAAAUUAUUCAAGCUAAAUUAAAACUUUAAAGAUGUCAAAUUAAAAUCUUGUUACAAUAUAACUAAUUUCAUGUGAGAGCAUAUAAAUUUGAAACCAUAUAUAUUUGAAAACUCUUUCAAAAUAAAAUAAGAUACUUUAGUAUGCUAAAUUUGAAUUGUUAAUUUAUUUAUUUAGGCCCCAAAAUUAUUAUUUUAGAUUUUUUAAUUUUAAAAAUUAUCUUUAGAAUUUUUUAUAUAUUUUUAAAAAUAUAACUUUUGGAAUUUUUAUAAAUAUUUUGAAUUCUAAAAAUUAAUUUUGAAAUUUUGAAAAUCAUUUUGAUUUUUUGUAUUUUUUGUUAAAAGAGUGACCAAUUUGCUCUGUUUUUUUUUUAAAUUGACAGAGACCAAAGGGGUAUUUAUACUAAUCUAUUAUUUGAGUUAUUCGAAUUGUGAAAUUCAACCCGACUCGAACUCAAAACUUGAGUUGCUUAUUUGAGUUGACUAAAAAAAUCGAAUAACUUGAUCCAAUUAACUCAAAAUCCGAAAAGAAUUAAUUUUUUUUAGUUGAAUCUAAUUUUUGUUACCCCUAAAAACCCAUCAUAUCAAAUCUAAUCUCAUUAAUAGUCUCAACAUCUCAUGUUAGUCACAUUUGGCCCACUCUCUCAACUCACUAACUUAAUUCAAUUCACAUCCUAAACCAGACCUUAUAUCACUGCUUUCAGAACAAGACCAUUCAAGGUAAUGUGCCAGAGGAAUGGGUCAAAUCGAUUCAACUCACACCUAAACUUGAAAGGGUCAAAUCUAACAACCACCCUAAACCAAACCUAAGAUCCCUGCUUUCAAAGCUAGAUCGAUCAAUCAAACCAAAAAUUGAUAGUACUGUUUCAAAAUAAAAGGUCAAAUUUGAUCAGUUUGAGCUUUGGGUACUUCUUUGUCGAAGUUGGCCUGAGUAGUUCUUGCGAUGAAGAUCGCCAUUAUUGCCGAGAUUGCGAAGAGGAUGGUUGGCAACUUCAUGGUUGUAUAUAUAUAUAUAUUUCUUGAGUGAAUGUUUUGGAAGAAGUUGGUAAUGGAAGAUUUUAUAGAGGAAUUCUGAAGAGUAAGGAGUUGACAUUGGGGAAAAUGGAUUUACAAGAAACGCCUUUCACUGUAUCUUAAAAGGUAAAUCAAUUAAUUGAAUGUAAAGGAAAGAUGUAUCUCCAAAGAUGAUGCAUCUCUCCAUUUCAACUAAUAUGGAAAACAAUUUUAUAAACUUUGGUUUUCUGAAUUUUUUGAAUUAAUUAUUUUAUUUAUUCUCGAAUUUUUUAUACUAAUAUUUAUUUUUCGUUGGAAAAUAUUUUAUUUAAUUGACAAAUAUUUGGUUUAACCAAACUUUUUUUGUGUUGACUUUAUCUGUUUUUUAUCUUUAACAAUAUGUUGUUUUUUUAAUUUUUAAGAUCUCAUUUUCAGACAUAGGUACAAUGUUUCAAGACUUAAGUACAUUAGUCUAUCAUUAUUGAAAGACUUGGGAGUUGUUCAAAGUCACAUUAGUCUAUAUUGUGACAGUCAGAGUGCUAUUCAUUUAGCGAAAAAUCAAGUCUAUCAUUCAAGAACCAAGCAUAUCGACGUAAGAUAUCACUUUGUGCGGGAAGUCUUUGAAAAAGGAAAAAUUCUACUUCAGAAGAUUCCGACAGCAGAUAAUCCCGCAGAUAUGAUGACCAAGGUGGUAACAACAAUCAAGUUUAAUCAUUGUUUGAAAUUGAUUAACAUCCUGAGGAUUUGAGCACCUUUAGGUGUAUGGCGCUCGAGAGCGUAUUUGGAGGCACUACAAAAGAUAGCUUUAUCGAAUUUGGGGAGUUGAAGGAAGUGUGUGAAGAUGUGAUUAUCCUAAUCAAAUCUUCAAGGUGGAGAUUGUUGAUAAGUCAAAUUAAAAAGGGGUUGAAAAGUCAAAAAUGGGAGGUGCAAGUGGCACCGAAAGAAAAAAAAAGUGAUAGGCAAGUUGUUUAAAGUUGAAUAGGAUAAUUGCAAUUUUGGUCCCUAAUUUUUUAGGCCAUUUGCAAGUUAGUCCCUGAACCUCAACUAUAAAUAGGCCUAACCAUUUCUCAUUUCAACCAUCCCAACCAAUCUUUCUCUCUUAGUUUUCUCUCUUCUCCCAUUUGAGAAUUCUUAAGGAAUUCUAUUUGUUUGUAAUACUUUGGAGAUAGUAAAGUUAUCAUCUGGUGUUAGUGCCCGAGGACGUAGGUAUAAUUUACCGAACCUCGUUAAAUCUCUUGUGUUCUUUCUUGUCCUAUUUUUCUUUCAAUAUUUGAGGGUAUAAUAGUAGUAUUUAAUUGUGCUAUUAAAUUACUAUAGAAGGGAUAUUCUGUCUAAGGAAAGACUUGGUAUUUAAGAGAUCCAUGUGAUCCACCUCUCUUCCCUGGGAAUUGAACUUUGUGUGAUUUUUUAGUACAAUAAUUUACACGCUUCCGACCCUAUUGGAACAACACUAUACACAUUUUAAAAAAAAUAUCAUCUUGUACCAUACUCUUGUACAAAAUUGGCUUAACUAUAUGAAUACAAUUGGUCAGGCAUUGAAAUGCAACAUUAUGGUACAUGUAAAAGGAACUCAUAAAGAGAACUUUGGGUUGCUUUUCGAUAUGCUAUAUAAAUUAUGUACAGUGUGAGAGCUUACGAUAGCCUUUGCAAAGGAACAUUGUGAUAUGUCUAUAACGGAUAAAGGAGUAGCAACAAAAGCUCCACCAUCAGUUCAAAUGGUUGUGGAAGCAUUAGUCGGAGAUUUAGAAUGGUGAGACACGAAUGAUUCUACAAAUGGAUUCACAAGAUGUGGAGCUUCAUCCUGCAUGCACAUUAGUAAUACAGCAAUGAACUAUCAUAUUUGUUAACAGAAAAACCUGUCGAACCAUAGUUUCAUGAGAGAGCAAACCUGAGGGCAGUGGCCAACAUUGGGGAGGACAACAAAGUCUUCUACAGUAUCGAAAUCCACGUAGGCUCUUCUGAGUUCGAUGCUUUCCCAUGAUCCUUGUCACCCCAUGCUAUCAAGGUGUAGGCGAUGAGAACAGAAAAGACCAUACUACAAUAAUUUCAACAACUCAAUGACUUAAAAAAAAACCUUUCGAAUAAUUAAAUAAUAUUUUGUAACUUUUUAAAGUUUAUGUUUCAUUCACUAGGAUGGUAAGUUUUUUCUUUUUUAAAGUUGAUCAGUACCCAUUAACUAGUACAAAAAUAUACUUUAGAUCCAAGUUGAUAUGAUGGCUAAUGUUAGAGAUUGGAAAAGAAAAUAAUUUAGAUUUUGGUUCAUAAAUUCACGAUGUUCAAAGUUGUUUUAUAAAAAAAAAAGAAUUAGGUUUAAGUGAUGAGAACAAAAAAGAUCAUACAACAAUGAUUUUAACGGUUUAAUACUUAAAUAAAAACUUUGAAAUAAUUAAAUAAAUAUUUUCAUGACUUUGAAUGUAAUUUAAAUUAUUUAAAAUAAAUAGUAUUGUUAAAUAUAAAUAUCAAAUAAUAAAAUUUGAAAAUCAAUCAACAAGUAUAAAAUAUUUAAUAAAUGGUAUAAUUUUAAAAGAGACAUAAAAAUUAUAUCAAGUGAUAAAUAUAUCUUGAUUCUUGAAGAUUUUAUCCUAAAUUAUUAAACACAUUAAAUAAGUCAAUAAUGAUUAGAUUACGAUAAAAUAAUUAUUUAAAAAAUAAAUAUAUUUAUUAAAAGAUUAUGUAAAAGGAUAAAGUUAGAAGAUUUAAAUUUCAGGAAUUAAAUCUUGAUAUAAAUAUUAAUACAAAUUUUUAAAAAGAAAAGAUAUGAUUUGAUAUUCACAAAAUUUCUGUCUUUUCUAAUAAUAAAUCGGUGAACUAUCUAGUAGUGUGGAAGAACCAAAGCUUAUUAUCAGAGAGAACCUGCGUUGCCGGAACAUGGCUUGCCUCACUGCCCGACGAUCACUAUCAACUCUUUUAAGCCGCGCCCUCACUUCUUCUUCUUAUUCUUCCUUUCCUUCCCUUUCUCGCCUCACUGUUGCUUUCCUCAACAAAACCUUAGUUUUUAUCCCCGAUGCAACAAAAAUCCUGACCCGAACCAAGACAUACGGGUCCGACUACUCGCCUUUUCGUGACCCUUCCCGAUUACCAUCGGUUUUCCUAGAUGGCCAUAAUUAUGAACAUUGGCUUAUCAUUUUGGAAUUCCCAGAACGCCCAAAACCUUUGGAAGAAGAAAUGAUCGAUACCUAUGUUAAAACUCUCGCUUCUGUUGUCGACAGG